Molecule: long non-coding RNA, 72041 nt
Filed under: Gossypium raimondii (Peruvian cotton)
Lineage: Eukaryota; Viridiplantae; Streptophyta; Magnoliopsida; Malvales; Malvaceae
Description: long non-coding RNA (GRAI_LNC009057)
Source: RNAcentral
UGAUAUUGACAGGUAAUUGGAUUAAGUUAAACACGGAUGGUGCCGUCUGGGUGGAUUCUAGUUUUACUACUGCAGGAGGGGUUAUGCAUGACAUGAAAGGGAAUUGGAUCUUAGGAUUCAAUAGGUGUUUGGAAGUAUGUAUGUUCAAUGCUGGAGGCUGAGUUAUGGGGUAUUUUUAAGGGUUGCGAUUUGACAGAGUGUUGAUUAAUAUAGAUAGCUUGGAAGCAGUUUAGGUUAUUCAAGACAACAACUUAAGGAACUCAAGUUCAACUUUGGCGAGGCGUAUACAUCAACUAUUGGGAAGGACAACUCAAUGGCAUAUCCAACAUGUAUCUAGAGAAGAUAAUAAAGAUGCGGAUUUUCUUGCAAAAUGAAUCGCAGUAAUGAAGACGUUUUACUUCUGUUUGAACAACCUCUUUUAGGUGUUUUAGCUUAAGUCCUUGUGAACACUUUGAUUUGUUUUAUAUUCACCAAAAAAAAAUAAUGGUUUUUUUAUGGUUUCAAAGUAAGAAAAAAUUUAAUGUCAUUUUAUGGUUUCAUUAUGAAAAAAAGUUGUGUAUAGAAAAAAAUUUCUUCCCUCUGUCUAUUAUCACCUUUCUUAAAGUGUAUUAAUUAACUUUUAAUCCCCAUGUACAACUUUUUUUCUCUUAAAAAAGUUAAUUAAUAACCUUAAAAAACUUUGUUUAAGAUUUUUAAACUUAAUAAAAAAUUGUAAUACAUUAUUUAGAAAAUUUCAAAUCAUAUCAUUUAAAAAUAAUAAUGCAGUUAUAUUAUAUAUGUUUAAAAGACAUUAUCAAAUUAUAAUCAUGUAUCCCGUUUAUGUUUGUGAAAUAAAAUAUUUGAGCCAUUUUAAAGGAUUUAUGCAGGGUUAAAAUAGUAAAAUUUUGUAUUUUAAGAGUUAUUAAAUCAUAAAAGGAUAUUAAUUAACUUUUUUAAGAGAGAAAAAGUUGCACAUGAUUAAAAGUUAAUUAAUGCACUCUAAGAAAGGUGAUAAUGAAGAGGGGGAAAUUUUUUUUCCAUCUACAACUUUUUUACUAUUGAAACCAUAGAAUUGCAUUAAAUUUUUUCUUGCCUUGAAAUCAUAAAAAAUUAUUAAUGUAAUUUCAUAUACAACUUUUUUUUUUCCGUUGAAACCAUAGAUGUCAAAUUUAAAUUUGUCUUGCCUUCUUCUCUUCCACUUUUUUUUUUUACAGCUCUCCAUUUUUUUUUCAUCUUCUUCUUUUGUUUCCUUUGCCUACUAAGUACUAUUAGGGGUGUUCAGCCGGUUAACCGACCCGAAAUUGUAAUAACCGAAUUAACCGACCUCCCAAAUUUUUUAAUCGUUAACCGAACCGAAUUUUUUAAAAAAUAAUUAAUCGAACCGAAAUUUUUUUCGGUUAAUAAGGUCGGUUAACCGAUUUAACCGAAAAAUAUGUGUUGGUCAUUUUUGGUUAAAAAUUACCCGAAUUACCUGAAUUACCCAAAAAUUAUCCAAAUUACCCGAAUUACCCGAAAAUUACCCAAAUUACCCGAAUUACCCGAAGAUUACCUAAAUUACCCGAAUUACCCGAAUUAAAUCACUACAUAAUUAAAAACAUUACAUAAAUAUUUGAAUCACUACAUAAUUAAAAAUAUUACAUAAGUCUUUGAAUCACUACAUAAUUAAAAACAUUACAUAAGUCUUGAAUUAACACAUAAUUGAAAUGUAAGUUUUUAAUAUUCUCGAUUUAUAUCCAUUUCAUCUCUCCAAAAUAUAUUCAUUUCAUCUCUCCAAAAUAUCUCCAUUUGCAUUAAACCUAAAAAAAAAAACAUGAGCAAAAAUUUAGCAUAUAAUAGAAAUAUACGCAUUUAAAAAAACUUAAAUAAUAUAAACAAACGAAUAGAUUAUAAAUUAACAAGAAUAAGAUAGUAGUAAGCAUACCCUUUAACUCACGAAAGCUCAUGAAUCUAGGGUAGGCUCUAAUGCAUUCCAAGAAAUGUCUAAACAUUGAAUCAAUUAAAUAAAUAAGGGUGAUAUGGUAAAAAAAUUGAAACUAUUAAAAUAAAACAAUAAACAUACCAUUUUCAAUCUUGUCAAGCUCUUGGAUUUGUUCUUCAAUCUUUUUUAUGUCUUCUCGUGAUGAUGAUCUUCGAAUCCAAUCUUGAGUACACACAAGAGCUUGUACAAUUUUAGGAGUUAAAGAACUCCGAUAUUGAUGAAGCACACGUCCCCCGGUGCUAAAUGCAGACUCUGAAGCAAUCGUAGAAACCGGUAUAGCUAACACAUCUCUGGCAAAUUUUGAAAGAGUGGGAAAUCUAGGGCUGUUCACUUUCCACCACAAUAAAAUAUCAAAAUCUUCAACAAAUUCUUCAUUAGCCUCAGCUAGAUAUUUAUCCAACUCAGAUGUUUUAUCCUCACCACAAAUUUCCAACUCACGCUUUUUAUACAAAGCUUGCAUUCGCCUUUUCAUUUUUUGUUGUGGUUCACCAAUAGAAACAUGUGUUGACACACUCGAUUGGCUACAAGUACUAUGAAGUGGAGGCUUAUACUCAUCAAACAAUUCAUACAAAGNNNNNNNNNNNNNNNNNNNNNNNNNNNNNNNNNNNNNNNNNNNNNNNNNNNNNNNNNNNNNNNNNNNNNNNNNNNNNNNNNNNNNNNNNNNNNNNNNNNNNNNNNNNNNNNNNNNNNNNNNNNNNNNNNNNNNNNNNNNNNNNNNNNNNNNNNNNNNNNNNNNNNNNNNNNNNNNNNNNNNNNNNNNNNNNNNNNNNNNNNNNNNNNNNNNNNNNNNNNNNNNNNNNNNNNNNNNNNNNNNNNNNNNNNNNNNNNNNNNNNNNNNNNNNNNNNNNNNNNNNNNNNNNNNNNNNNNNNNNNNNNNNNNNNNNNNNNNNNNNNNNNNNNNNNNNNNNNNNNNNNNNNNNNNNNNNNNNNNNNNNNNNNNNNNNNNCCCUUUUCAAGUUUAGCCCUAAAGUUUGUAUCUUGCUCCUGAAAUCUCUCAAAAGCUCUCUCAAAGUUCUGAGCAGUGUCUAACAUUAAGUAGGUCGAGUUCCACCUAGUAUAAACAUCAAGACACAACAUCUUCUUGCACUCUAUCUUUUCCACCACAACACACUCCUUAAACUUUUGUAAUCUAGUUGGAGAUUGUCUCACAUAUCUAACAGCCCCCUAACACGUUCAACAGAUUUAUUCAUUUCCUUUAAGCCUGCAACAACAAUCAAAUUCACAAUGUGUGCCAUGCAUCUCAUAUGAAGAUAUUUACCAUUUUGAACUAAACCCCCUCGAGGGUUAAAUUUCUUUCUCAAAUAACCAAUAGCAACAUCAUUUGAACUUGCAUUAUCAACAGUAAUAGUAAACAACUUAUCAAUCCCCCAAUUCAACAAGCAUUUCUUAAUCACCAUCCCAAUCGACUCACCCUUAUGACUAGAAAUUGGACAAAAGUUUAAAAUCUUUUUAUUCAAUUUCCAAUCAUUAUCAAUAAAGUGAGCAGUGAUACACAAAUAAUUAACUCUUUGCAAAGAUGUCCAUGUGUCAGUAGUUAAGCAAACUCUAGAACAAGAACUUCUCAAAUUUUGUUUUGGCUUGACCCUUUCAUCUAGAUACAAUUGAUAAACAUCCCUAGUCAUAGUAGUUCGUGAAGGAAUAUGAAACCUAGGACACGCCACAAACAUAAAUUUCUUAAAACCUUCACUUUCAAUAAACUUGAAAGGUAAUUCAUCAAUCAGAAUCAUUUGUGCUAAUCCUUUCCUACAUGCUUCUUGAUCAAAUCUCCAAGUUGAAAGAUUCCCUUCCCCCGCCCCCUUCAACUCCCUUGCUAGGUAAAACUAGUUGUCCUUGACUAGUGUCAACUACAUUACUAGGAUUUUUCUUACAUGAACCAAUAUGAUAUUUCAAUGACCCUGUACCUUUUUUUUCAUAUCACAACAAAAUUCCUUUUCACAAUAAUUACAUUUAGCCUUACUUGCACCCUCACUAUUAAUAAACUUAGUGAAGUGAGACCAAACUUCUGACCUUUGAGGAGGAGCUUUUCUUUUCCUGGACGUAGUCCCCUUUGUUUGGAUUGAAGCUCCAACCCUCGAAUUUUCAGAAUCUAUCGAAGUAGGAGGUGUAACACUACCCUCAAUAGAUGUUGGUUCGGUUGACAUUCUGCAAGAAAAAAAGUAUAUAAUAAAUUAAAAUAAUACGACAAACUUGGGGUCAACUGUCAAGGACAAUAUUAUUUACAAAAUCCAAAAACUUAAUAAAUUGAUGCAAUAUUAUUUAGAUCAUUUACAUUUUUUAAUUUCUCCAAUAAUUAUUCUAAAAUAUAGCAUUUUAAACCAAGUGAAAUCAUUAGAUAAACCACCAAAGAAAUAGUUUAACAGAUAAGAAUAAACCUUAUGGAAGAAGGCAUGACGAUCUUAUGGGUCCUUCAUUCAUCCAAAUUCGACCACAAUUAUUUGAUACGAAAUAAAAUAUGUUCUGAGACUUAUUUAUUUAUGGAAAAAACACUUAUGAAGUCCCAAGUUAAAAAAAACCUAAUAAAUGAAACUAACUAAAUUAUUCCAAAAUCUUGAUUGAUUAAGUGUUUAAAUAGGUGAAGAUAAUGAUUAGACAUCGAAUCUUUAAUGCUAAACAAUUUUAUUCUUAACAAAAAGAUCUGAAAUAAUUAAUUAACCAAAUAAUUAAAAAAAGAGAAAAGAAGGCCACAAAGAUUAUAAUAUGAUGAUAUAAAUAAAGAAAACAGUUGUACUGAUUAUGAUAAUAAUUCUAGUCUGAUUAUAUAUACUUUUUUAUGAAAUAAUCUGAUUAUCAUUAUUAACAAAUAAAUAAAGUCAUGACGGAUUUUAAAAAAAAAUACAAAGAUAAAGAAAGAUGGCAAGAAAAGCAACGUUUAAGAUAAGAACAAAAGAAAUAAAUGUGUUUCCCCAAUUGAAUAUUAAAUCGUCAUAAAAUAGUAACACAAUUUCUUAGACGUAUAAAUAUAAUAUUCUACAUGUAUAAAAAAUGUAAAUUCUCCGGAUAGGAUUUGCUAUAGCCUUUGGCUUUAAUCUAUGGAAAGGAUUAAGUUUAGUAUGAAAAUUUGUUACUAUUUUUAGUGGUUUCUCCUUAUGUUUAGAUAAUUAGUUGUGGUGUAUUACUUGAAAUAACUUUUGGAGAAUAAUCAUGAAAAGAGGGUAAGCUUCCAAUUCCUUCCAAACAAAAACUUUAUUCCAUUUAAUACACUACAUAGUUACAACCUUGUGCCAAAUGUUAAAUGUAUUUCAUUUGAACUUAAUCAGCAUCAUGUAUCAAACAGACAAACACUCAGUAUUUUUUAAAAAUUAUAAAUUCCAACACUCAAUAUUUAAUAAGUAUCCAUGCAUCAUGCACGUUUAACCAAUCACUAAUUAUUAUAAUUAAGUAAUUAAUUCCUUUUAGAACCUAAUAAUGAUGCAGAAUACACUUAAAAGGGAUCUAUAUUGUAAUUCUCACAUCCCCCAUGAUAGUUUAAGUGCGCUUUCAGCCUAACCCAUUAUUUUUCAUCAAUAAAAAUAACUGAAAAUGUCAGGCUCUUCAACCCUUAGCCUAUCAACCUCCUCCGUCAAACCUGGAUAAAUUUUCCCUAUAAAUAACAGUUUUGCGUGGCCCUAAGGUUUAAACAAAUAAGCUACAUUACAUACAAUCUUUGCAAUGUCUUAUUCAAGAGUUGCCUAUUAGCCCUUACUUUCAUUGUCCAAACAGCUUUUGGAGCUGACCCUCUUUUCCAUUUUUUUCCAUUAGAAAAAAAAACGAAUACUAUCUAUAUCAGUCAACUACAGAGUACAAACCCAUUCAAGAAAUUGGAAAAAAAAAGAAAGGGAAAGUAGAAGAAAGCAAACCUAGCUAUUGGUGUGGUGGUCCGACACUCUGACUCGGCGACUCUGGCGGAAGAGAAAUAGUGUGUGAGUGAAAGUUUAAGUGUGUGAUUUAGGGUGGGAUUCGACUGAGAUUGAGAAUAUUAGGGUGGGAUUUAGGGCUAGAGGGGUUGGGUGUUAACUGUUAAGUGUGUGAGUGAAAAGUGAAAACUGAAAGUGAAAGGGAGGGGGUAGAGACGUAGUAGUCGGGCUGCUGCAGUGCUGCUGAGAAAUGGGCAUUGGACAGUAGGUUUAAAUUUGGGCUGGGUUUAAAUUUAAUUGGUGUAGGCCCAACCCUGUUAAUUUUGGUUUACCCGAAUUUUAUUGGUUAAUCGGUCCGUUUCGAACCGAUUUAACCGUUAACCGAACAAACCAAAAAAAUUUAACUGACCCUCGACCGAAGUUUUUCGGUUCACCGAUCGAUUAACCGAACUCGGUCGGUUAACCAAAAAAUUUCAAUUUUAACCGACUAAUGCACAGCCCUAAGUACUAUAGUCAGUAAAUUGAACUCAAAAUCUUUUUUUUUCUUCUCAAAUAUUCAGCGCUUCUUCUCUACUGAUAUUGUGUUAUUUUUUUUCAAAUCUCUCUUCUCAUGUAAUUGAAGGCUUAAGAGUCACAUUUCCAAAGCUUUAAAAAGAAUCAAACGGUCACCGAUCAUGGCAACCAGAGCAUGCCAUAAAAAAAAACCACGCCGGCGCUAGUGGAGAGAAGGUCGGCACCAAAAAAAAUAAUUUAAUCCGACACGAGUGUUAGCACCAAAAAAUACUGAAAAGUAAAAUUUCAUUAUUUCCCAAUGCCGACUACCUAGAUGCUGACACCUAAUAAAAAAUAUUUUUUGAACCAGAAAAUACCCAUAUUUUUCAAAAAAGUACACAAAAAUACAUACGCGUGUUAGCCAUUGCAGUGUCAGCACCAAAAAAAUUAUUUUUUAAAACCCUGACCCAAUCAACAAGCAAUCAUUAUACGCUGAUUGACAUUGGUGACGACCAUCGGAGUGCCGACACUGCCCGACACUGUAGAUUUCAGGUAAUUUUCGUUAUAGUUUUUCAACCUGGGUCAAUGUCAUAAAAUUUUUUUUGGUUAGUUGGGUAAAAAAGCUUAUAAAAUCACUACAAAUAUAAUAUUUUAAAUGGUAAAAGUAUGAUAAAGGCUCUUAUUUUAAGAGUAGAUUACAUUUUUCUCUUUUUACUUAAAAAAUAAGUAAAUUAGUCUUUUUAUAUUAAAGGUACACGUGACAUUCUAUAUGUAAUUGUCUGAUUAUUCUAUCAAUCAAGUCAAUUUUUAUCAAUAGAAAUAGAAACUUUUUAAUAGAAAGAACUAAUUUACUUUUUAAUCCAAUGUACAAGAAUUAAUUUAUUAAUUUAAUUUUGCUCUUAAUACACAGAUUUUUUAUUUUAUUUUAAGCAUGAUCCAAUAAAUUAACUAAACUAAAAUCUGGUGUUUUUUUUCAAAAUUGAUCCAAAAAAUAGAUUAUUUAUGAAAAUGACCCAGGUGAAAAAUCUUUGAUGGAAAUGACUUGGUUCUAUAGUGCAUGUUGGUGCCAGCCAUCUCACCGUCGGCACCACCCUCCAUGAUCUCUUAAUCAUUACCCGAUGAUUGCCCGGUCAAAUAAAAAAUAAUUUUUUUUGUGUUGGCACUGUGUUUGUUGACACCAAUAUGUUUUUUUUUCAAAUACACUUAAAAAAUACAGUAUUCUAAGAUUAAAAAAAAAGAAAAAAUAAUAAUAUUUUAAUAGGUGUCGGUGUUCACGUUGCCAACAUAGGUUCAAAUUUAAAAAACAAUGUUUUUUAGUGUUGGUACUAACGUUCUCAUUGUCAGCAUCAGUGUGGUUUUGAUUUUUUUUUUGUCGGUGUGCUCUAAUUACUAGGACCGGUGACUGCUUUUUUUUAAAAAAAGCCAAAGGCAUUUUAUCAUUGACAAAAGACUACGGCGUUGUCAUAUUUGUUGCCGUUAACUGCAUGUCCUCCACCGCCAAUGUCUUCUUCCUCUAUUUGCUGCUAUCAUCACACGACACUCUCCUCCGCCUGCUUCUUGUUCUUGAAGCGACCAUCAUCGACUUAUUCAACAUUAUGACUUUUUAUUGAUUGGGCAAUCAUCAGAUAAUAAUUAAAGGAUGAUGGAGGAUGGUACCGACGAUGAGAUAACCGACACCAACAUGUACUAUAAAAAAAUAGUUCAUUUUCAUUGUCGAAACCAUUUUUAUUUUGAAAAAUGGGGUCGACUUUUAAAACGAAAAUGGAGUCGCCACCAAUCUUUUUUCGAGGUGUGAUCUGAGAUUAAUUAUUUUAAUAAAACAUUUUGAUUUAUUAAAAUAAUGAUUUUGGUCUACAAAAUUCGAGAAAACGGGCUCGGAAGUUGGUUAUGCACGAGGAAGGAUUAGCACCCUCGUAACGCCCAAAAAUUGGUACCUAAUUGAUUAAUUAAUGUCUCAAAGUCGAAUGUCGAAAAUUUGAAAAGUUUAGAAACGAUUCCCCUUUUUAUUAAUGCCAUAUUUUAAAACAAUGCUUGGAUAUAUUUGAACGAAUGUAAAAUGAUUUCUCAUCCCGAGGCAACAAGAUGUCGUAUCCCGUAAGUUAGGAUGCAACGUUUGAAUUCCCGAGCAUAAGUUAACCUUUUAAAAAUAUUUAUUGAAACCUUGUGCAUUUGAAAACUAAAAUGUUUAGUCAUUUUAGUUCAAUGAGAAAAUCGAAACCCCGUAAGUUAGAGCACGAUUUCUCAUCGUUCCAAAGACGACAUAUUGCAAACUUCAUUUUCCCUUUUUUACGAAAUUGGACCAAAGCGAAGGUUUAAUGCAAUAUUAACAAUGAUAUAAAUUUGAUUUAUUCGAAAUGAAAAGAAAUGAAAUAAUCAAAUUUUGGCAAAUAAAUUGAAAAUUUUAACUAUGAUGUAAUGUUCUCAUUUAAUAAAUUGUUUAAAACAACUAAUAAAACACAAUAUAUAAAAAUAUUGAAGCAAAUGAAGUAUGAAGAAAAAUUAGAAUAUCCAUUAUAUAGAAAAAAAAGUAAUAUUUAUAAUUCAAAAUAAAUAGUAUGUAUAUGGAUGAAGUUUAAAACAAUACAUGAAUUAAAACAAAUAAUAUAUAUGAAUGUACAAUUUAAUACCAAUAAUAUCUACAAUUUGAAAUGAAUUGGAUAAUUUACAAUAAAUAAUAUAUAAUAAAUUUGAAAUAAUAAUACAUAUAAAAUUUAAAAAUUUUAUGAUAAUUCUAGAAUAAUCAUACGUGAUAAAUCCAAAAUAAUAGUAUAUAAUAAAUUUAAAAAUAUUAAUGAUAAAUUUGAAAUAGAUAUACAUGAUAAAUUUAAAAUAAUGUUAACAAUGAAUUUAAAAUAAUAAUAUUGAUAAAUUACAAAUAAUAAAACAUGAUAAAUCUAAAAUAAUAAUAUACAGUACACUUAGAUAAUAUUAAUGAUUAAUUUAAUAAUAAUAAGCAUAAACAUUCAAAUAAUAUCAGAUUUAAUUUUUUUUUAAAAAUAGCAUAAUAAUCGAUACUUAAAUAAAUAAAACACAAGCAAAUUAAAUCAAACUAAUGAGGAUUAAAUUGAAUUUAAAGCAAAAUUAAAAGGAACAAAUGAGAAUAAAACAAAACUGAGGGCCAAAAUAUGGAAAAAAAAUAGAUAGUAUAAAAAAAUAAAUUGCAAUUGAUAAUAUAUGGAAAAAAAAUUAAAGCAAAUAAUCAAACAAUUUAAAAUGGAUGAUUUAUAACAUGAGUUUUUAAAAAAUAACAUGUGUGACAUAAUAUUAAAAACAAAUAGAGUAUAUAAUUAAUAGAAAAAAAAUAAAAGAAUGAUAAGAAUGGUUAAAUGAAUGAACAAUAUAUAAAUAAGAAAGUUGAUGGAUAAAUAAACAAAUAAAAGUAAAAGAAUAAUUAAUGAUUAAACAAUUAAAUGGAUAAAUAAAAAGGUUAAAAAACGCUUAAGUCAGUUUAACUCUUACAAUAUGAAGAUUCAAAGAAAUUCCUCCAUCAAAAUCCAACUCAAAUGAAAGCAACUUAAAAAGAAACAAAGAUGAAUGAAGAACAAGAUAAGAACAAGCCACAGAAAAUAAGAACGCAAGAGAGGGAGAAAUUUGAGUGAAUGCUUUUAAGAAUUAUUAUUGCUCCAAACUUCAGUGUUUUACAAUGAAGGGAGAGGCCUCUAUUUAUAGUUGAGCCUCCCCAAAUCUAACGAUAUAGAUCAAUUACAUCAACGACUAAGAUUAAAGGGUAUCUACAAAUUAAAUCUCUAAGAUUACAAAAUCUUAUCUUCUAAGAGUGCAUAUCAUAUCUUAGAUUGCAUAUUCUGGAAGAUUAUGUUUCCAUAUGCGUCAAGCUUGUAGAUGGACCUUCAACCCACUACACCAAAACAAGUCUUUAGCGGCAUUUUUUUAGGCCUUUAGCGGCAAACAUCGCUAACGUUUGCAGCGUUUACAAAAAAAACCGCCGCUAAAGAUCAUAUUCUUUAGCGGCGUUUUUUUUAAGCGCCGCUAAAGAAUAUGAUCUUUAGCGGCGUUUGUGAAUAUGCGCCGCUAAAGAACCUGCUCUUUAACGGCGCUUUGUAAAAAACGCCGCUAGAGAUCAUAAUUUUUAGCGGCGCUUUUUUUACAAACGCCGCGAAAAGAAAUGUUCUUUAGCGGCGCUUUUAUACAAAAACGCCACUAUUUUUGGGAUUUUUUUAUAUUAAAAUUUUCAUUUUUUUAGCCCUCCUGUAGCAACAAGUCAAAAGCAACCAGAUCUAAACCAGCCAAAAACAAUAAUUUUAUAUAAUAUUUCAAAUUAAAUGAAUAAAAUAAUAUUAAUAUCAAUAAAUAAAAGUAAAUUCAUAUUAUUUUUGCAAAAAUGUUAAAAGUUAAAAUGAUAGAAAUAUUUAUGCAAUACACUAUGACGGCAGAAGUUGCGAUUGAAACAUCUUCAUCAUACUCUAAAGCUGCUGCUGGAGUUCGUCGUACUUUUUGCUUUGCUCUGCUUCUCUCGCUGCAGCCUCUGCUUUAAGUUGUAGCUGGAGUUCUUCAUAUUUUCUUUGAACCUCUGCUUCCCUCGCUGUCGCCUCUGCUUUAAGUUGUAGCUGGAGUUCUUCAUAUUUCCUUUGAACCUCAACUAUGGUCGCUUGCAUCUGAGUCAUCUGAUCUUUUAACCUCUGAACUUCAGCUUGAGCCUGACUCCCCGAAGCCAUGUAUUGCUGCGAGCUGGAUCCAAAAUAUUAGGUUGGGCUAACAAAAGAUCCUUGAAAUCGAACCCGACCAUACCUUUCAGGACCCAAAACUUCAGUAAUAAUCCGGUUAUCAAUGUCUUCAGGAUGAACAGAACUAUCACUAGAAGCAAUCGCUUUGUACUCCGCCUUUUUAUCCUUUAGUUUUUCCUAAUAAAUAAAUCACAUAGUUAGGAACGCAAUAUAUAUUAAAAAACAUAUGCAACAUAACAAUAGUCGCAUUACAAGCAAUGAAUUAAACCAUUAGAAAAUAAACACUAUAAAUAACUAAAAGAAGUCAAAUCGUAUUAAGUAAACGUACCAUUAUUUCACCAGCUUCAGGAGUCAUGGGAGAUCCAUCUUUCUUCCUAUGUGUAAUUUCAAAAAGUUGAAGGCAUCAAACUUUUUGACCGGACGACAGUUCCUACAAUAUAGUAGUAAAAAUAUUAUUUAAUGGAAAGUUAUACAUAUUUGACAAUAUUAAAAAAUUAAAAAUACCUCCGCCUCAGCUACACAUGCAAAACUUCUCGACCUGGCUGUGUGAGUGAAUUUUUGUUUCUGCCUACUGCUUUUUCCAACUCGUUCACGAUCCUACGUUAUGAAAUUUUUAGUACGUAAAUAGUAAAUACUAUAAACCAAAAUAAUUACAAUAGUUUGGAAGUACGUCAUACCUUGCCUUUCUUCGAAUGCCAAAAUCUAACCGCAUCUUCCCAUUGGUACCUCAACAUACCCGGCGGGACAUUUUGCAAUUUCUCAUCGAGGGUUAUUUUUGUCUUAUAAUAAUUUUUCUUCAAAGUACUUUUAUGGUCUCUCCAUCUUUUUCCCAAUACCUUCUUUACAUAAGCAUCCGAGACCUCCAAAGCAAACCUCGCCUACAAAAAACACAAGUUAAUAAAGUAAAUAUAAAUGAAACUAUUUCCCAAGCAUUACAGAUGACAUUAACAUUUUGUUACCUUAAUAUUAUCGAGGGCUUGGUUUUUGUUGCUAUCGGGCAUUUGAUGCCAUGACUUAUAGUUGAUAGGCAACAUAUUCGCAUUUUGUGCUAAAAUGUCCAUGUAUCCUGCUAAAAGUUGAGCUUCUGGUCCAACAGGCUGACCAAAACUAUUUCGUCCAACCUUGACACGCUCGACUGGAUCUAACUCGUAUAACUCUCUAAGCAGCGUACGUCCUCGACCUCUGCACGUCCCACCAUUUUCAGCUACAAAUGGUAUAUUAUAAUAUAAGAAUUUGAAAAAUAAAUCAAUUAUAAGUCAACACGCAUGUAAAUUAAAUGUAAAAUUACUUUGAACUUCUGUAGGAUCCUCAGGUGUAAUCGGAACAUUCGAAGAUCCAAUUGCUGUCUGUUGUUCAAUACUAUUUGUUUCUGUCGAGUUUGGAUUAUUUUGAACCAUGCUUCCCCUUAGAAUUUUUCUUCUAGGCAUUUUAUCUGCAAUACACAUAAAAUAGUUGAAAACUUAAUAACUAAUUACAACAAUAACAACACAUAUAAAAUAAUUGAAAUAUAUAAUAAGACCAAGAUUUAAAUUAUUAUAUUACAUAUAAUUAAACAAUCGUAAAAUCUUACUCCAUCAUUAUUCGUAAAUAUCUUCAUCCGUAUCUUGACGAACCCAUUGAAAUUGUGCACUAGUACUAGGGAUAUUAUCGUUUAAGUUUUGUUUUGGAAAGGGCAAAGUUUCUGAUCUGUCGUCGAUGUUAUCUCUACUUCCACUGCCCAUGUCAAACAAGUCUCUAGGGAUGUUACGAAGUAUAACGUACUAACCCUCAUCAGUUGGAUAUUUUGAGUAAAAAACUUGUUUGACUUGAGAUGAGAAUACAUACGGCUCAUCUAUCACUUGUUGUCCUGUAUAAAUCAAUCGGGUGAAGUUCACCACUGUAAAACCAAAUUGAUCUUGCUUAAUUCCACGAGCAGUAUUAACAUCGGCCCAAUCACCUCGAAAUAAGACAACUUUCCAUUUGCCGUAGUUAUCCAACUCAAUUAUGUCAGUAAGAAGUCUGAAAUAUUCCACAUUUCCCUCAACAAGAUUAUUGUCCCUAGCACUAGCAUAACUUGUAAUUGAGGAAUUAACAACUAUUCCACAAUCUUGCUUUCUCCUCAACCUCUUGCUAUAUUUUGUAUGAAAUCUGAAUCCGUUGAUGAGGAACGCACUAUAUCUUUUAACCACUCGAUCUGGACCUUGGGAGAGCCAUUUAACUUCGUCGUUUACGUUCUUCCCACUCCGAACCUAUUGAAUGGAAAGUAAACCGAGUAAUUAAAAAUUAUUCAAUGUAGACAAUAUUUCAUAGCACACACCUCAAAAAUUUUAACAAACAAAAAGAAAAACAAUUAAAAAAAAAAGAAAAAGAAAACCCUGAACUACUAGAAUUAAAGAAACCUAUAGCAGGCAGAAAAAUGUAAAGCAACCUUCUUUGUAGCAGGCAUGGCCUCAAGUAUUAUAACCACAAAGAAUAUCUGACAACAAUUGCCUACACCAAACCAACAUGGACUUGUAAAACAAUUCCCACAAGAAGUUGGGUUAAUUUUAUAUGAAAUAGUUUCCCCGCAAAAAUCUAGCUUUUUGGACUUGUAAAACAACAAAUCCAAGCGAAAUGACUUUAGUUUAAAAUUUAAAUUACGGCACUCUCCGCCAUUCAGCCAAUAGUGCUUUUUAAAGAUAUACAAGUAAAGAAAAACAAACUGAAUGAACAAGAUAGGGAAUGACAAGGCCCAUGAGGAAAAUAAUGAAAAAAAUAAAAAUUCAGAUAAUAGUUGAAACAGAACUAACGGUUCUAGGAGAAACUUGGACAAGCCCAGAUACAGAUUUAUACACUUAAGGUAGCCAAAAUUUUCAAUGGCAGCAAAAAUGAAAAAGAAUGUAUAUAUACAGAAAAAGGAACUGAAAUCUUGUAGAAAGAGAAGAGGUGGCUCACUUCUCGGACGUGGAUAAGCAGACGGAGAAACAACGAAAAUGAAGCACAGAUUCAAAAGAGACGAUUUAAGAGAAAAAGUUUUAUAUUUAUUUAUUCAUUUGCCUUACUAAUAAUAUCAAAUUCCAAGCAGGAAAGAAAGGUUGAAUUCCAAGCAUUGAUUUUAAAUGUCAAAGGAACGAUGACACCUUCGCCGAAGAUCUCCGGUGUGUCAACAUCGUCGACUUCCAUGGCUGAACCUUGGUCGUCUGGGUCCGUCACGAAUUCCAUCGGCUUCUAAGCUUCUAGGGAUUUCUUUCCCCCCUUUUCUUUAGGCUUCUAGGGAUUUCUUUCGUUGUUUUAAUUUUAAUUAUUUCUGUUGAAAUAUCUUUCCCCUCUUUUCCUUACAAUAAAUUAUGGAUUUUGUGGCGUUUUUAGAAAAAACGAAGCUAAAAAAAUUAAAUUUUUGUAGUGAAACGGCACGUUUUGGAAAAAUUUAAUAAAUAUUUGCGGCGUUUUUUGUCCAAGCGCCGCUAUUGCUUACCUUUUGCGGCGUUUUUCUCAUAAAUGCCGCUAAUGGUUGAUUUUUUUUAUAAUUUUGUAUUUAAUUAUUAUAUAAUUCAUAAUCCAUAAUUCCUAAUUAUUUAAAUUAUUUAAAAAAAAAAGAAAAUCAAGAAUUGUAGAUUUAAUGUUGAUAUUAUAAAUUACUGGUAAAUUCAAAUAAAAAUCUAUCUUAUCUAAACAUUUUAAAUAUAUAUAUAUUUUCAAAUUGUUAAAUUUCAGUCCUAUAUAAAUGAAUCACCAUCCUGUUUCAACAUUCGGCUUUCGAAAUUUCAAUGGAAUUUACAGAAAAUAUUUUGUUAUUUUAUUUAAUAAUUAGGUGUUUUGUGAGAUAAUAAGUAAGAAAUUUAAUUGACAUAUUAUCUUAAUAUGUUAUAAAAAUACUGUUAUUAUCUUAAUUAUAUUACUUACAUUCUAAUGAUUUAUUGGACCUAUUCCAUACACGUGUCAAAUCAGAAAAAUAAUACAACAAUUCUGUAAAAAAAAAUUCGGUGUUUACUUCAAAUAAACAAGGAAAAUAAUGAUUUGAAUGUUUCAAAAUUCAAUUUUAAACCGAAAAAUCAAAAUUUAGAGGCAAAAAAGGAUCUUUUUCGACGAAAACUGCGGCAAACUGCCUUCGGCAAUUUGUCAGCGCGUAGAUCUCGAAAAGUUAUUCGAAAUAAAAAAAAUGGUCUCAAUUGGACAACCAAGCCAAAAGUUAUGGCCUUUCAAAAUUUUCCAAGCUAAAAAACAUAAACUGUUCAUGAAUUAUUACUUCAAAACUCACCAUUUCGUUUCCAUUGAUUUCAUCGUGCACCAUUUCAAUUGAUUUCACAAAUCCCGCCUCUAAUCCUCCCAAAAUUUGACAUCCCUCCAACUCUACACAACGAUUCAAAAUGCUUUCUUUUUCAGGCAAAAUACCAAAAAAGCCCUAUAUUUUUAAAAUUUAUCGAAAUGGGCCCGGUAUUUUAUUAUUUACUGAAAUGGGCCAUUUUUCCCGAAAUCGCGUCCACGUCAGCGCGAUACCAGGGGACGUGUUGAAACCCUAAACCCCAAAUCCCUAACCUAAUUAUUGAAACCUUAAACCCCAAAUCCCUAAACCCUAACCCCUAAAUCCCCUAACCCAUAAAUCUCUCUAACCUCUAAAGCAUAACACUGAACCCCUAAACCUUAAUUCACAAACCCAAAAUCCAUACCUCGGCCUACUCCUUAAACUCUAAACCAUAUAAUAUAGUGAUAAUUAAUUCAAUAUUUUUAAAUUAAUACUAUCUCUUUUACGAUUAUAUAAGAAAUUGUUUAAUAUAUAAGCUAAAAAAAUCAGUAAUGUAUCCAAAAAGCUUUAAAAUUAUUUUAAAUAAUAGUAUUUUAAUUUUUCCAUUUUUAACAAAUAUUUUAAAUUAUUUUAAAUCCCUGAGCAUUAGCGGCGCUUUUGUAAAAACGCCGCUAAAUCCCCGAAAGCUCAGAAAACGGCGUCGUUGGGUUUAGGUUUUUUUGCGGCGCUUUCCCAAAAACGCCGCUAAAGCCCUGAGCAUUAGCGGCGCUUUCUUAAAAACGCCGCUAAAUCCCCAAAAGCUUAGAAAACGGUGUCGUUGGGUUUAGUUUUUUUUGCGGCGCUUUCCCAAAAACGCCGCUAAAGCCCUGAGCAUUAGCUGCCCUUUCUUAAAAAUGCCGCUAAAUCCCCGAAAGCUCAGAAAACGACGCCGUUGGCUUAGUUUUUUUUACGGCUUUUUCCCAAAAACACCGCUAAAGCCCUGAGCAUUAGCGGCGCUUUCUUAAAAACGCCGCUAAAUCCACGAAAGCUCAGAAAACGACGCCGUUGGGCUUAGUUUUUUUUGCGGCGCUUUCCCAGAAACGCCGCUAAUGCCCUGAGCAUUAGCGGCGCUUUCUUAAAAACGCCGCUAAAUCCACGAAAGCUCAGAAAACGGUGUUGUUGGGCUUAGUUUUCUUUUGCGGCGCUUUCCCAAAAAUGCCGCUAAAUCCCCGAAAGCUCAGAAAACGGUGUCGUUGGGCUUAGGUUUAUUUGUGGCUUUUGAGCAAAAACGCAGCUAAAGUCCUGGGUAUUAGCGGCGCUUCCCGAAAAAAACUGCUAAAUCCUCGAAAGCUCAGAAAACGACGUCGUUGGACUUAGGUUUUUUUGUGGCGCUUUAGCAAAAACGCCGCUAAAGUCUUGGGUAUUAGCGGCGCCUCCCGAAAAACGCCGCUAAAUCCCCGAAAGCUCAGAAAACGGCGUCGUUAGGCUUUGGUUUUUUGUGGCGCUUUGGCAAAAAUGCUGCUAAAUCCGCUAAAGCUCAAAAAAUGGCGUCGUUGGUCUUAGGGUUUUUUGUGGCGCUUUGUCAAAAACGCCGCUAAUGCCCCGAAAGCUCAGAAAACGACGUCGUUGGGAUUAAGUAUUUUGUGGCGCUUUCGCAAAAUCGCCGCUAAUGCUUAUUUCAUCGGCGUUUUCCAUGGAACGCUGCUAAUGGUCGAUCUUUAGCGGCGUUUUUUAUCCAACCGCCGCUAAAAACGCCGCUAAAAGUCUGUUUUGGUGUAGUGACCUUUUCAAGUAAUGAGUCAUUCCGAUCGGACCAAAUGAUAUAAUUUUGGACUGGAGUUAGACUUUAUUUUAUUAUUUUAGGUUUUUUUGUAAACUCGGGCUAAAUUGACCUAUUACAUUCAUAAAUAAAAUUUAUAUUUAAAUCAUUUUUGUAAAUAAUCAAAUUUAAAACCCACAUUUUACAGUGUUGUGCUUCUGGAUUCAUCGUAGGCCUAAGAGUUGGCAAGAUCAUGAGUGACAUAGUGGGUAGUUGUUGUGUAAUGUCAAUCUACAGAAGACACGUAAUUAGAAAGUGACAAAAUUAUUGUCCUUCAGUUGUAGGACAUCCCAUGCAUUUACACUUUGAAAAAUAAUGCAAAGAGCUGACGCGUAAGGACAGCAAUUAAUGGUACGGUAUUCAUCUGUCUCAUAAUUAAUUAAUAUGGCCACAACCACAAGGCUUGUGCCAAAUCACCCCCUACUUCAUUUGACCCCAAUCUGAACUGAAAACCAUGCCUCCAACUUCUUUGCUCCUUAGCUGGGACUGAAUUAUGUUAUUUUACAUUUCCUAUUUGCUUUAAUAUUAUAGAUGUAUAUUUAUUUUAUUUACCCUAUACAAAUUUACAUUAUCCUCUAUCAUUUUAUUAAAUAUAUAUAUAAUAACACCCUUAAACAAUUAAAUUAGGAUUCAACUUUUUAUGGGUUACUUAUUUAAUGAUUUAACCUUUCAAAAUGGUCACAUGAGCGUUACUUUUAUAUACGUAUUUAAAUAAGAGUUUUUCAUACGCUUCAAUUAAGUUCAUAUUAAAAAUUAGUUAAAUGAUAAUAUGUUUAGAAUAAAAUAAAUAACAACUAAAUAAAAUAUUAUUUAAAAAGAAAAGAAAAGAAUAAUAACAUAAUUUGAAACCCAAUAUACGAUAUCUAAGAAGCCAUUAUUUUUGUAGUUUUGAAAUGGUUUGGCUAUUAUUUAAGCACUUUCGAAAAGGUUCGGCCAUUGUUUGAACAUUUUGAAAAGUUUAGCCUUCUUUUGAGCACUUUUGUAAAGAUUAGGCCUUAUAUGACAAUUUUGAAAGAUUUAAUCCUUAUACGAGCUACCCUAAAAGGUUAGACCUCAAAUUGAGCAUUUUUAGCUUUUGAUUUAUUAUUAUUAUUGUUAUAACAUUAAUGUUAUAUAAAAUGUUGAAUAAUACAAUGGGUGUGAUUCACACUAUAAGGGGGUGUGAAGAGCCUUUUAGAAUGGGGCAAUUUACACCAUAGAUGAUGCGAUUGGAUUUUAAGUUGUAACACCUUGAAUAAUUUAAGUCUGUUUUUGUGAAAUUUAGGGUCCGUCUGAUUGCCAGUAAAAUGUUUUCCGUAAAAUAAUUUCUGGAAAAUGUUUUACUUUUCUGUAAAAUGAUUUACUGGAAAAUAUUUUCUGGUGUUUGAUUGAAUCCGUGUAAAAUAUUUUCUGCUGUUUGGCAGAUUUCCUGAAAAUAUUUUUCGAAAAAGUUAUUUUUACAUAUAUUAAUAUAUAUUAAUAAAUUUUUAUAUUUUAUUGCAAUGAUUUAUUUAUAAUAAUACUCAAUUAUUAAGCUACAAUAUUAAUCGUUAUAAAUUGAAAAAAACUAAAUCAAAUAUAUAAUAAUACUCAAUUAUUAAAAUAUAAAAGCAUUGCAAACUACUUCCGAAAUUUACUAAUUAGUAGUGAAUCAAUUGUAGUGAUCUCCUGAUGAAAUUACGCUCAGCAUAAAAGCAAUUUUUUUGUUGUCUUACAAACAACACAGAUAGCAUCAUUAUCAAAUUUCAGCCACUCUCAAGUAUAACCAAUUCCUUAGCCAACCAAUCUACAUUGUAACACAAAGCUAACUCCUAUAAAAAUUAUCCCAAUGCACACAUUUACAGAAAUAAAUAUGUAUAUAUGUAUGCAUUCAACAAAUACAUAACCAUAUGCAUGCAAUCAGCUAUGUUCUUUGAAAGCUACUACUAGAUCAAGCAUUGCCCCAAUACCAUAGGUUGCCAUCCAAUAGAGAGGAAAAAAUACAAGCAAAGAACCCAACUUUUUACUUAGACAUAUGGCGAAACGUGCUCAUGCAACUGGUAAGAAAAAAUCACUCAUGGCCCAAAAAAGAAUUUCAUAAAACUGAUAGUAAAAUCAAAAUGAAUGAUACAUACAAUCAAAAUUUUCAACUGACACCUAUUGAUUUAAUACAACCAGGUAAAGAGGCCGACAACCAUCUGAUAUCUAUGAAGCAAAUGAACUAGCAAUAUACUAGAAAUAUCAGCAAUUGCAAUCAACAAAGGCAACAGGCUCCAUUGAAGUCCCCAAUUUAAAUCUAUUGAUUUAAUACAUGCUCUCAUUGAAGUCCCCAACUCUAGGAAUAUUGUUCUGCCAGAAGCUAGUCAGUUAAGCAAAAUCAAUAAAAAUUCAAGAAACAUAAACCCAAACCUAGAUAAACUACUGCAUUUAUCUUACGGUGCUUGCCAAUUAUGUUGCCAUGAUUUCCAAUUAUAACAGAAAUAGAGUUCUGAAAAAGACCGACCCGUACCCGGGGUUCUCUUAACAACUCUUUGUCAGCAGAAAAUUUGAAAGCCUGGAAUGAUUUGAAAUGGAAAAGCACUUAUAACUGCCUUCUACAAUAUACUUGUAUUGAAAUGACAAACUUUGAGGCACAAGGUGAUAAGAGCUAGAAAGGGGUGCAAGUGAUAAUAGACAUUAACAUGUCCUUACCUUCCAAUAAAUUUAAAAUGGCAUAUCCAUCGCAAGAAUUUUUAUGAUUUGUACCCUCGACAACAUUGGUGAAGAACAACACAACCUAUAAAAUUGUUAUAAGUAUCCUAAAUUGAGAUCUAUCUUGAUCAUUAGAGACAAGAUUAGUGCUUUGUUGUAGCACAAUUUAAAAUAAUUGUUUAUGAAAGCAAGACAAUGUGCAAGUACACAAGCAUGAGAGCAACAGAGCUUUCAAUUUUAUCUAUUAAUGGUUUUCACAUGUCUUGGGAGAGAAUAUGAUUGCUAGAUAUUACAAAAGGUUAAACAAAAAAGGUAGGCUAUAUUCUGUACUAGCUCUACAAGUUCAGAGUACAAAAACCACAAGCCCUUCUAAUAAAUCAAAUUCUACAGGUCUCUAAUGGUCAGAACCAUUACUCAUUUAUCUUCAGAAAACAGGAGUGGCGAGUUGCAAAAAUCUAUACCUCAUCAACUUCCAUUGAGAGAUCAUUCACACUUUGCCUAAGUAAUCCUUUCAAUCUUCCUUUCUUGAAAUCUGAAAGCUCAGCACCAAUGUUGUUUUCAAAAAGUGAAUCAACAUCUUUAGGACUACAAUCCAUAGACUCUUUAUCAUUGACCACCAUAUACUUCCCUUGAGACAACUCAGAUGCAUUGGAAUUGGACAGAGUAUUUUUAUCUUCUAACAACAGGUCAGCUAUUUGACAAGCAUAGAAGCUAAAGAAAUCAGGUCCAACUUUACAUUGCUUACUCGAACCAUCUGAAUUUCUCGGCAUCUCUGACAUGAUAGAAGUACUACUACUCUGCAUACGACAACUACAUAGAUAUGAAUCAGUCCAGACUCCAGAUAAAUAACUGAAGCAAAAGAGGAAGAAGCACCAUUAUAUAUACUAUACAAAUUUCUCUCUAAAGCUAUAUUUAGAAACAUGAAUUUGAACAUUUGGAUUUAAUUUCAUUUGUUAUAAAAAUCUACGGAUAAAUAAAUAUUGAUGAGCUAAGAUGAUGGAUCUCUAUAUCAAUGAAUCGUUAUAAUGCAGUAAUGUUGGAUAAAUAAAUAGGCACUUGAAGAUCAAACUCAUGUUUUGAAGAGAGGGCUUUAGCUGAUUCAGGUGGAACAAUAGUUUCAAGUGUUGUUCCGCAAUUCAGCCUUAGAAGCAAUCGGCUGACUUCCUGUUAAUAAACCAUAACAAAAUUCCAAAAGAUUGUUACUUUCACCAGCAAUAAGAUCAGUAGAUUUUGACUUUUAAUAGGCAAAACAUGUUACUUGUUAAUGAGAUAAACUGUUUACAAAUUCUAGGAUCGUCUGCAAUGAUUAUUUCAGUGGCAAAAACUGACUAAAAUGACAAUAACCAAUCAAUUCAUAAUAGACAAUAUGAAAUGGGUUUCCUUUUUCAUGAUCAAAUUAGCUUUUACAAUAUAUAUAUAUAUAAGCAAGAAAAAUAACAGGAAAGACAAAUAAAUUACAACCCGGAAAGUGGGAAAAAAGAAAAAGAAAAGACCUGGUAGAGUUGAGGCUUGAGAUUUGCGCUCAAGAGGUGGUGAAGCGAAUUAUACCCACAAAUUGAUCCAUAUUUGAAACUUUCUUUUUCUUCUGUGCUUCCAUUUUCUUUCCCAAUUCCAUCAGUUUUUUCAUUUUCUGAUUCCCUCAAUUAUUGCUCCGAAAUCAAAACAUAGAAAAAAGGUUGAUGAACGCCGGUGUCUAGUGUUAAGAAUCGAUGUUGGUUGAUGGCAAGCAGAAGAUCAGGUGUCAAGGAUAGGAGAAAGGGAAGGGCAAGGGAAAGGGAAAGGGAAGAUCGAUGUCUAAAAUUUUCUUGAAAAUGUCUUAUCGAAUUAGAAACGGUAAGAUAUUUUCCAAAAUUAAAGGCUUCUUUUCCGGAAAAGGCUGGAAACCUUUUCCGGAAAAUGUUUUACUACAAUCAAACAGAGCCUUAACAUAAAAUGUGUAUUUGCUUCAGUGGUUAAGUGUUCUGGGUGUGUGUAUGAGGUUUUGGGUUCAAGUCUUUAUUUUGGAAUUUUUUUUAUUUUUUUAUCCAAGCCUUAUCUCUAUUAGGUGGGCUUAUGUUUUAUCUUUAGUAAACCCAUAUCAGAAUGAGCCUGUUGGUUCGAGCAAUAACGAGUUAGCUUGCUGAAGGUCCUGUGUUCGAUUCCCUGUGUGAGUGUGGAUGAUAUUUUUGUUUUAGUUGUGAGAUAGAGGUUAGGUGAAAGUAAAAUUCUAAGGUGGUGGAGAGUUAGUCGGUUAGUUAUUGGAAUAAUGGAAAGUUGAGAUAUUAGGGGUUUCAAAUUUUAUUUUAAUUUUUUUCUUCUCAAAGUUUUUGACGUCAGUUUUAUUUUAUUUUUCCCUCUUUUAACAUUUUUACCUUCUCGGUAAAAUCCUUUUCAUUUCUCUUUGAUUCUAUUCGUGAAUCCCUCGUUCAAAUCAUUGCUACUGUGAUUUUUGGGUUCUUUAAUCAGUUGGUAAGUAGAACUUCGUAUCUCUUUAACAAUUGGUUUGAGAUAUUGGCAAUGUUAAGUUGUAGCGAUUAAUUAGUAGAUUCAGUGUUUAGGAGAAGAUUGUGAAGCAGAAAAUUCACCCCGACAGCCUAAUCCGUGUUAGUGGUGGUUUUCAUUAACGAUAAGUUUGUGAUCGUUGUUGAAUUUUUGUCACGAAUUUGUAAAUUGGUUGCUAAUCGGGGUUAGAGAUACUAUUUACAGGUUUCUAUGGUCUCGGGAUUGAUUAUACUACAAAAAUAAACCAGGUGUGUAACCCUAACGUGAGAAAAUGAGAUUCGACGAAAGUUAAAAUUUAGGUUUGUCGACGCCACACUGGCGUGUGCCCGGUCAUGUGCAAGACAUGGUCGUGUGACUUAUAAGGGUAUGGCCCUGCGUAAGACACGACCGUGUAACAGUGUUAGUGUGGCUGUGUGGACUACACGGGCUAGGCGAGAUUGGCCGAAUGGGCCCAUACGGGCAAGCCACAUCGACGUGUGGGCCCAUAAUUCUAAAAUUUUCCCUAGGAUCUCACUGGUCGUUUUGAUUGAAUGUGAACUUAUUAUAGGGUCGGUAAGGGCUAAUCAAACUCUAAUUCAUGUGAUCUGAUAUUCUGAUAGUCUGAUUUGAGUAGGACAUUGAUAUGUAUAUAUGACUGUUCUGUUUGAGUAUAUAUAUAUGUGUUAUCUAUAUACGAACAUGUGUUAAUUAUGUUAAUUUUGUAUUAUGUAUUGUGUUUAGGGUGGGAUUUGUAUAUAUGGAGGAAGUGAUCUGUACGGUGACCUUUCGCCUAUAUUCUGGUAGCUUGGCUGCGUAUUAUCUAUUAUGUGUCGCAUCAAAACUCUAUGGUGUCUAGGGAUGAGUGGGUGUUUUUAACCCCCACAUGGUGUGAUGGGAUGGACGGAGAUGGUGUGUAGAGGAUGGGGGUAGGAUUUUGUAUAUUCGUUCUAUUUAUCUGAUAUGAUUUCUGUAACUGUUGUGGACUUAAGUUCGAAUCUGUAUCUGACUGUAUAUGAAACAUUGUGUAUGCUGCAUGUCUGUCUCUGUUGGGUUACACACUGAGUUUAUAUAAACUCACAUUUGUUUGACUUUUUUGUUCAGGUAACCUAUAGACAUAGGCGGGUCAGUGCGACGGAGGCUCAGCGGUGACCACUCGAUAGAAAACUGUUUCCAUUUAUUAUUUCAUGGUUUUUAUUUAAAUUUCUAAUUUUCGUGAGAGUUUUGUAAUUUUUGCACUCUCCAAACUUUUUGAACUGUUUGGUUUCAAUUUUUGGUUUGGUUGGGUUAUGAUUUCUAAACUGCGACAAUUCGACAAAAUAUUGAUUUUACGUGAUCAAAUGUCAUCGAGCCUGGUUUCUAUUUAAACGACUUUUCAAACUUCCGCUGCUAAAUGAUUUGGUUAACCUUAAGGGAUAACAUGUAACUGUUUCAUUAAUAAAUAUAUAAGUGAAUACGUUUUACAAAACUUAGACGUUUAUUGAAAUAUUAUUGGUUUUAAAACCUUUCUUCGUAACACUCCUGAAUUCGGCCAUAACGUCUAGGUCGAGUUUGGGAUGUUACAUUUAGUGGUAUCAGAGCCAGGUUGUAAAACUCGGGUUAUGAAUUUUGGAUUCCAAAAUUUUGUCUUGAAAAAAGACUAGUUUUUAAAUAAUUUAGAUCAUUCCUGAGUAAGUAUGUGAUACACCAAGUCUUCGGUGUCGAUUUUAUAAGUAUCUCUAAAUUUUGAAAAUACAAUAGAUAGUACUUUAUGAAAUUGUAAUAAGUUAGUUAAAGACUAAAACCUCUGAAAUACUUCUGAACUUUUGAUAUUUUAAGCAUAAAAUAUUUGUUAAUAAAAAUUGAAACUGAGGCAUAAAAUUUUAUAAUGUAAAUAAAAUUAAAAAUAUGAUGAGUACUCAUGAAACUCAUGGUCAUAGUAAUCGUGGACGUGGCGGGCGCCGUAGUAGGGCUUGAGUUGAGUUUUCCUCUCUAGGCAGUAUGCCAAAUUUAGAUACGAGUGAGGCACCGGUUUUACUUACUACAAAGACUGGGUUUGAAAGCCGUUCGUCUGGGGACGAUGCACUGUCCUAAUCUAUGUUGAGAGUGUUGGAGAGGGUUGCUAGACCCUAUUCGGGAUCUGGAGGUCGUAGGUCGAUAACAAAAUGACUUCGAUCCAAUAGAGUUGAGUUGUUUAGAGGCGUCACUAGAGUCACCUUUACUGUGGACGAGUAUUGGUUAGAGGCCAAUAAGAGGAUUAUGAAUGACAUCUACUGCACUCCUGAGUAGAAAUUAAAAGGUGCAAUCUCUUUGCUUCACGACGAAGCUUAUCAGUAGUGGUUGUCAGUUGAGGAGGGUAUUCAACCGGAUCAUCUGAACUGAGACUACUUUAAGACCGCUUUCUAGGGAAAAUAUGUGGGUGCAAGCUCUGUGGAUGCUUGUAGGCGUGAGUUCACGAAUCUCACGCAAGGUGAUAAGUCUGUGGUCGAGUAUGAGGUCAAAUUUCUGAGACUGAGUCGCUACGCUCAAGGCAUUGUGGCAUCUGAGUAUGAGAAAUAUGUUUGUUUUAAGGACGGCUUGAGGGAUAGUCUGAGGGUAUUAAUUGCUUCACAGAGAGCGAGAGUUUGCUGUUCUUGUGGAUAAGGCGAAGAUCGCCGAGGAGGUUAAGGACGUAGAGUGCUAGAACAGAUAUCGUGAGAGAGGCAAGAAUAAGAAGGAUUCAGAGCCCUCUAGUUCUAUUCAGAGGCCUAAGAAAUUGCCCAGACCUGAUGGGCCUGUUAGGGUGGGAGUUAUUAUUGCUCUUACUAGGAUUCAGCCUUGUGGUGACUGUGGUAGGCGUCAUCUGGGUAAGUGUUGGAGGAGAUCGGGGCUUAUUUGCGGUAUGGGUCUUUAGAGUACCAGAUUAGAGAAUAUCCACAUCGUACCAAUUAGAUGCAAGCUACGGGACCAGGUUUUGUUCAGCCUCAGAGGACAGUACAACAGCCACCUAAGGGUCGUGGAUUGGCUAGGAGUGGUAAUGGUAUGAGUCAUGGACAGAGAGUACCAGACAAAGGUGUUAAUCAGACUGAGGCGAGACAACCUGCACUGGUUUAUACUGCUCGACGCUGAGAGGAUAGAGACGCUCCUGAUGUGAUCACGGAUACGUUUUUAAUUUUUGAUAUUUCAUAUAUUACUUUGAUAGACUUAGGUUCUACACACUCCUAUGUAGCUAGUGUUGCUUCAGAAAACUUGAGAAUUUCUGUUGAGUGUACUUGUGGUGAGAUUAUUGUACUGAGUCUGUUGGGACAGUCUGUUUGGGUAAAUAGACUUUAUAGGAAUGUUUCGUUGGAAGUAUAAUGGGUUAUCUUUCCGGCAAAUCUGAUGGAGCUAUCGUUUGGGGAGUUUGACUUAAUUCUAGGUAUGGACUGAUUAGUUGAACACCGAGUUAGUUUGGAUUGCGUAACUAAGAGGGUCAUUUUGAGGACCAAAGAUGAUAAGGAGGUGGUUGUGAUUGGUGAGCGUCGAGAUUACCAGUCUAAUAUAAUCUCCGCUCCAGUAGCUGAGAAAUUAGUUUGAAAAAUUGUGAGGCGUAUUUAGCCUACGUCAAUAUUUCAGUUUAUGGGGACUCUGCUGUCGGGGAUAUCAGAACAGUGAGGGAAUUUUUGGAUGUUUUUCCUGAGGAAUUGAUGGGUUUACCUCUAAAUCAAAAAGUUGAGUUUGACAUUAAGCUUCUACCGGGUACAAAAUUGGUAUUUAUAGUUCCUUACUGUAUGGCACUGAAGGAGCUUACAGAGCUUAAGGUUCAACUUUAAGAGCUUCUGGUUUCAUCCAUUCUAACGUGUCUCCGUGGAGGGCACCAGUUCUAUUUGUGAAGAAAAAUGAUGGUACCAUAAGGAUGUGCAUCGAUUACUAGCAGUUGAAUAAACUGACUGUGAAGAAUAAGUACCUACUUUCGAGGAUCGAUGAUCUGUUUGAUCAAUUUUGAGGGGCUUCAGUAUUCUCGAAAAUAGAUCUCUGUUUUGGGUAUCAUCAACUUAGAGUUAAGGAAGCUGAUAUUUAUAAGACGGCUUUUAGGACUCGUUAUGGGCACUACGAGUUCCUAGUUAUGCCCUUUGGUUUGACAAAGGCUCCAACUAGAUUCGUGGAUCUGGUGAACCAAGUUUUUGGUGUACUCUAAGAUUGAGGAUAAGCAUGACGAUCAUCUUAGGGUAGUGCUUCAGAUACUUCGAGAGAAACAACUUUACGCUAAGUUGAGAAAAUAUGAAUUCUGGUUGUGAGAAAUAACAUUUUUGGGGCACGUGGUUUCUACUGAGGAGAUCCGAGUUGAUUCUAGAAAGAUUGAGGUUAUGCUUGACUGGAAACAACCUAAGAACGUAUCUGAGAUCCGUAGUUUUCUAGGACUUACAUGUUAUUAUUGGAGGUUUAUUGAGGGGUUCUCGUUGAUUGCAACUCCUUUAACUAAGCUUCUGUGCAAGAGUGUUCCUUUCUUCUAGACUGAUGCGCAAUAAUCGAGCUUUGGAAAGCUCAAGUCUAUUUUGACUCAAGCUCUUAUUUUGGGAUGUGUACUGAUACAAGAUAGUAAGGUUAUGGCUUAUGCGUCUCAAUAGCUCAAGUCACGCGAGGGAAAUUAUCUGAUGCAUGAUCUCUAGUUGGCUACGGUAGUGUUUGUACUAAAGAUUUGUAGGCCCUAUCUGUAUAGUGAGAGGUGUAUUAUCUACACCGAUCACCAGAGCCUCAAGUACCUCCUUACUCAGAAGGAAAUCUUAGGCAACAUCGAUGGAUUGAGCUGCUAAAAGAUUAUAACUGCACGAUGGAGUAUCAUCCCAGUAAGACUAAUGUGGUGGCUGAUGCUCUCAGUUGUAAAGCGAUGACUGAUUUGAUAGUAGUGUUCGCUCUUCUUAGUCUGUUGGAUGAUGGGGGUCUGUUAGCCGAGUUGCAAGUUAAGCUGACUUGGAUUGGGCAGAUUUGGGAAAGGGGAUGAGUCACUGGUUCUGCGGUUUGUCAGGUUGGGAGUGGCUAUACUUUUGAUUUUAGACUAAAUAAGGAUGGAGUUCUGUGUUUUUGAGGACGGGUUUGUGUAUCAAAUGAUUUUGAUCUGUUCUGAGGGAAGCGUAUAGUAGUCCUUAUGCUAUACAUCCUAGUGGUAAUGGAUUUUCGUGAGCUGUACUAGUGGCCGAGGUUGAAACGAGAGGUAAUAGAUUUUUUUAUUCAUUGUCUGAUAUGCCAGCAAAUUAAAGUUGAGCAUUAGUUUCCUUCGAGUUUUCUCCAACCCGUUAGGAUUCUUUUAUAGAAAUGAAAACGAGUGAUGAUGGACUUCGUUAGUGGGUUGUCCUUGACACUCAUUAAGAAUAAUUUUGUUUGGGUCAUCAUGCAUCGAUUGACCAAAUCUGCCCAUUUGAUUCUGGUCCAGACGAACUUCUUUCUACAAAAGUUAGAGAAGCUCUAUAUCUCCGAGAUUGUAAGACUGCAUGGGGUUUCAGUUUCGAUAAUUUCUGAUAGGGAUCCUUGCUUCACUUCUCGUUUCUGGAUGAAACUUUAGGAAGCCCUAGGUUCGAGAUUGCACUUCAGUACUGCGUUUCAUCCUCAGACCAAUGGUCCAUCAGAGAGGGUGAUUCAGAUACUGGAGGAUAUGCUUCGGAGUUGUGUGAUUGAUUUUUGAGGUAAUUGAGAGGAUUUUCUGUUGUUAGCUGAAUUCACCUGUAACAAUAGUUUCUAUUCUAGCAUUCAUAUGGCACCUUACGAGGCUUCGUAUGAUCAUAAGUGUCGUACUUCACUAUGUUAGACUGAGUUAGGUGAGUGAUAGAUUUUGGGUCUUAAGUUGGUUUUCUAGACUGAAAAUAAGGUUAGAUUGAUUCGGGAUUGUCUGAAGGCGACUUUUGAUAGACAGAAGUCCUAUGCAGAUCUAAAAAAGAGGGAUAUUGAGUACUCUGUGGGUGAUUCUGUAUUCUUUAGGGUAUCACCGUGGAAGAAGGUUCUACGAUUCGGUCGUAAUGGCAAGUUAAGCCUUAUUCAUUGGGUCGUACCAGAUUCUGAAGCAUGUGGGACUGGUUACUUAUCAGCUAGAGUUACUUCUAGAGUUGGACUAUAUCCAUGAUGUGUUACACGUCUCGAUGUUGAGGCGGUACUAGUCUGAUCCAUCUCACGUUGUCUUUGUUGAGGAGAUCGAUGUUAGACCAGAUUUAACUUUUGAGGAGGAACCGGUUCAGAUUUUGGAUCGAGAUAUUAAGGUUUUGAGGAGGAAGUCCAUAUCGUUAGUGAAGGUUCUGUAGUGGAAUCAUGGCAUUGAGGAAGCCACGUGAGAACUUGAGGACUUGAUGCGUCAGCAGUAUCCUCAUCUGUUCGGAUCAGGUAAAUUUCGAGCCAAAAUUUCUUUUAGAGGGUAGAGUUGUAACGCCCUGAAUAAUUUAAGUAUGUUUUUAUUAAAUUUGACAUAAAAUGUGUAUCUGCUUCAGUGGUUAAGUGUUCUGGGUGUGUGUAUGAGGUCUUGGGUUCAAGUCUCCCUUUUAGCAAACUUUGUUAUUUUGAUCCAAGCCUUCUCUCUGUUAAGUGGGCUUAUGUUUUAUCUUUAGUAAACUUAUAUUAGAAUAAGCUUACGGGUUCGAGUUAUAAGGAGUUAGCUUGCUAGAAGUCCUGUGUUUGAUUCCCUGUGUGAGCGUGGAUGAUAUUUUUGUUUCGGAUGUGAGAUAGAGGUUGGGUGGAAGUAAAAUUCUGAGGUGGUGGGGAGUUAGUGGGUUAGUUAGUGAGAUAAUGGGAAGUUGAGAUAUUAGGGGUUUCAAAUUUUAUUUUAAUUUUAAUUUUAAUUCUUUGUCUUCUCAAAGUUUCUGACGUCAAUUUUUUUCUCUUUUUUCCCUCUUUCGACAUUGUUCCCUUCUCGGUAAAAUUCCUUUUCUUUUUUCUUUGAUUCUAUUUGUGGAUCCCUUGUUCAACUCGUUGCUACUAUGAUUUUCGAGUUCUUUAAUCGGUUGGUAAGUAGAACUUCGCAUCUUUUUAACAAUUGGUUUGGGAUAUUGGCGAUGUUAAGCUAUAGCGAUUAAUUAGUGGAAUCUGUAUUUAGGAGAAGAUUGUAAAGUAGAAAAUUCACUCCGACGGCCUAAUCCGUGUUAGUGGUGGUUUUCAUCGACGGUAAGUUUGUGAGCGUUGUUGAAUUUUUGUUAUGAAUUUGUAAAUUUGUUGCUAAGCAGGGCUAGGGUUACUAUUUACAGGUUUCGGUGAUCUCGGGAUUGGUUAUACUACAAAAACGAAUCAGGUGUGUACCCUUAACGUGAGAAAAUGAGAUUCGAUGAAAGCUGAAAUUAGAGUCUGUUUAUGCCACACGGGUGUGUGCCUGACUGUGUGGCACGACACGACCGUGUGACUGACGAGGGUGUGACCAUGCGCAAGACACGGCUGUGUGAUAGUGUGUUAGGAGUUUGGUUGAGUGUGGGUCUUAGCUUAUUUGGUACCUUAGUUUUUUUUGUUCAAUUUAAUUCCUGAACUUAAUAUUUUUUUCUUAAUUUAGUACUUAAGCUUCUUUUUUUUCCAAUUUGGUAUCUAACUUGUUAAAGGUUUUACAAAUUUCUCCAAUAUAAUAACAAUUUUAUUUUUAUAAGGUGCGAAAAUAAUCAAUGUAUGAUUAACGUAUGACAGAUGACAUGAGAUUGAUUUUUUGUAUUUUAAUGGUUAAAUUACUUUUAAUUAAUUAUUUUAUUUUACCUUUUUAAUUUAAUAAUGAAUUUCUUUUUAUUUUUGGGUUUUAAAACUUUUUUUUCAAUAUUCAUUCAUUAAGCGUAGCUCAAAGUACAAUCUUUUAACAUAAUUUUCCUCUAAUACUGACAAUAUUUUUGUGGGAUUUGAUGGCUUUAUGAAAACUAGGUCAUGCUUUAAGCAUGUGGUUCCUCUUGUAACAUUCUUGCCAUUAACUGUCAAAGUAAUCUUAGCCUUGAUGAAAUGUAAAUUUUGAACAUGUUGUUUAGAAAAAUAGAGAAAACUUCAAAUAAAUGUAAUCAUCCCUGUCAUUAAAUUCCAUAUCAUUGGUCACAUGACAACCAUACGUUAGCUACCUCAUAAAAAAAAUGAAGAUCAUUAGUGUUUUGAGGUAAUUUGUAUAAUAUUUAAAAGGUUUAAGUGUCAAAUUAAAUAAAAAAUGAUUAAGUAUCAAAUUAUAAGAAAAAUGUCAAAAUUAAGUACCAAAUGUUAAAUAAUUAUAACAAUAUAUUAUUAGUCGGCUUACAGUUUGAUUUCCUCUUUCCCAGUUGAUUGGAACAGUUUGUGGACAAAGGGUUUGAUAUUAGAGGCGGGAUUUAGGGUUUAACAUUUAAAAAUUUAUGGUUAAAAGUUUAUAAGGUUUAAAAUUUAGGAUUUGUGUUUUGUAAAAAUAAAAAUAGAAGUAUAUAUUUAUUUUACAAAGUCACAAAUUUGUAAAAAAAAAAAAUUAAAUUAAAUUAGUUUCUAGAAUUACAUUAAGAAUAAACUUUCAACAUUCACUCAUUUUCUUCUAAGAUUUUAAGAUAAUGGAUUUAUCAUGCGAAGACUUGAACCCCACAAUAUACGAUAUAUGAAGAUAAUGGAUUUAUUUAACCCCACCAUGCAACAUAUAAGGAUAUAUGGUUAGGUAAACUCAUAUUUUCUUUUAUAAAGUUUUACAAUUAAUAAAGAUUAUUUUUUAGUAAAAUAUAAAUUCAAACUCGCACACAAAUAAAUUUAUGAUUUCGACCCUAAUUUCAAAUAUAAAUGAACUUUUAAAUUAUGGGUAUCGUAUUAUGAAACGAUAAACUUCCUAUGUGCCACAUUGAAAUUUUUUAUAUGGAGUGAAUCUCAUAAUUUUUGUUUUCUUAAUUUUGUUUUAAAGCAAUGAAAUAUAGAUCACGUGAAUGUUGAUAUAAAAUGGGAAAUGGAGACGAGUGAUAUUAAUUUGUAGAUAAAGUUAAUAUUACGUAGUCGCAUAAAGCGGCAUAGUACACAACCCACAACUCUGGAAUUUUAACAUCCAUAUUUAUUCUGUAGCUAUCGUUAUUUUGGCUUCCACUAGCUGGUGAACUUUCCAUGCCAAAACUUCACUUGACGCUGCAAAUGAAACAACAAAAAACACAACAUUAAAUGUUGAGCAAGUAAUAAGCAUAAGCAAUGAAACAACUCAUACGAACCUGUUGCAGUCAGUGCUAGGGCUGAUCUUGUAAGGGAUGUUGACACCGCACUUGCCUGGGAGUCCGCUUGCAAUACCAUAGUUGAUGCCAGAAAUGCCGGCGGCCGCACUUUUGAUGCAUUUGCAAGCUGCUUGCCGGUCUGGUGUUGUUUGGGCGGCGGAGUUGAGAGAUUUUAUGCCGCCGCAGCAACCUGGGGGAACGCCACCAGCACCAUUCCCUGUCAAGUAACCAAUGCAGGGUGCGAGGGAGCUUGUGACUUGACCACAGGUUACGGCCCCUUGAGCCAGGGGUGCACCCACCACCAUGCACAACACCGCCACACAUGCAAGCUUAAGGGACAUUGAGCUAGCCAUAUCGAUUAAUCACAAGAAAAACAAACUUGUAAGGAAAAUGCUUGCUUGGAGUAGUAGUACUAUUGCUGAUUGUCGUGGUUAGGGCUUGAGGGUAGGAGGGUUUUUAUAGCCAAAAGUAGUAGCGGGUGAUGUCUGAAUUUUACUUUCCUAGCUAUUAGGUAAGUUGAGAUUAUCCGAUCCAAACAUUAACACACCACAUUAAAAGUUGAGACCAUUCAAUUAGGUUCAACUGCCAACCUACGUGAUUAUUGUUUUCUUUCAAUACAAUUAAAACCAGCGUCCAUUUGAUUUCACUCAAUCAUGCCUCCACAGCUAGGACUCAAAUAUUGGUUUAACUUUUUUCUAGGUGUUUUCUUAUAAACAUGAGAUUUACAUUUGAUGUAUUUAUAACUGCAUUUAUUGUCAGAAUGAUACCAUUUUAUUAAAAGUAAUUUGAUUUAUAAUUGUUUGUAUAUAUACUUUUAUAUAUUAAGUCUUUAAUUGAAUUGGUAUUACGAUUCACCCAAGCAUCUAUUUAAUUGAAAAUUUGUUAAAAUAUUCAUAUAACAAAUAUUAAUAUAAAUGUAUUUUUAUUUUUAUUAUAAAUAAAACUAUAAUAAGAUUUAAACUUAUGACUCAUAAAUUUUACUCUUUUUAACUUAACUAUUUCAACUAAAAUUUUAUUUAGUUUUAAUAUAAAUUUUUAUAAAUAUAUUAUUUACAUGAAUUUUCCUUUUCCAGGCGGUAUGCCAUGGAACUAAUAUAAAAUAUAAACAAAUGGUUAUUUUGUUAUUUUCAAUGGAAAAAAAAAACUUCACAAGAUUAGGACACAUGCAUGGUUUUUUUAAUAUAUAUAUAUAUAUCAUGCAACAUUCUAAAUCUAUUUAUAGAUUAUUUUGUUGAUUGAAUUUUUAUUUUUUUUUAUUUUGGUAAUUAUAUAAAACUAAAUAUUUUCUUCGCGCAAUGUUAAGAGCAGUUUGAAAUUUAAAAGAAGUGUGGAUUCUAAUAAUAAAUUUAGUUAUCUAAUGUUUACAUAUUUUAUUAAUUUGGCCUUAAAUAUAAAAAUUAAAUUCAACAAAAUUAGCCCUCAAUGUUUACAAAAUUUUUCAUUUUAGUUCAAAUUCUAAAAUAAUCCAAUAAAUUUAGCUCUCAACAUUUAUAAAAUGAAAGGAUUUGAUUUUUAAAAUUUUAAUUUUUUUUUUAAAAACCCAAAACACAAACCUAAAUAAACUGAAAAAGAAGAAGGAAUAAUUAUCAUCACCACGACCUAAUCUCUCAACUUUAAAAUAAGACUUCAACUUCGGUUUAACCCCAAGACAAGGCGAAACAUUGAAAGUAAGUGCAGCGGAUGCCAUUGAUUCUCCUACCUUUUGGCUAAACACAUAAAUUUGAACAACUUCAUACAUAACUAGCAGCAGUACUAAAAAAUCAUUAAUACUAUAUUUUCAAGUACAAGAAAUUGAAAAAAGAAUCACGGGUAGAGUACAAAAAUGAAAUUUGGUGUGAACCUAGAUUAACAAAACAAGGUUCACGGUUUCUCAAAAACACAAUACUAUAUUUUUAGAAUUUCUUGUGAAGAUCAAGCAAUGAGACAAAUACUGAAAUUGUGCCUUAAUAGCAAAUAAUAAUUCAAACCAAUGUAGAAAAAAGAUGAAGAAGAAGAAGAUAGGAAAAGAAUUUUUAGUUUACAUUAAAAGCCUUGAAAAGGUAGACCGAUAGGAUUGAUUGUUUUGAAUAUUACUCAACUUUCUCAUUAAUUCUUGUACUAUUAUGGCUAAGUGUGUUUUUAGAUGGUAAUGAAUUUUUUUAAUUGUUAAUAAUUUUUACAAUUAUUACACUUGAUUUGGCAGUUGUUUUUCUUUUUAAUUUACAAAAUUUUAAAAAAUUAAAAAUUUCUAUUUUGUAAAUGCUAAGAGCUAAAUUUAUUAUUAUUUAUUUUAGAAUCUAAACUAAAGUGACAAAUUUUGUAAAUAUUUGGUGUUAAAUUUAUUGGAUUUUUAUAUUUAAAAUCAAAUUGAUAGAAUGUGUAAAGAAAGUUAAUUUUUUUAUUAGACAAAUAAAAAAUAACCCAUUUCAACACUUCCGAAAAAUUUUCAAACGGCCGUUAACAUUUAGUGACGAAAAUAUUUGAUUUCAUAUAAUUUAAUAAUUAAAAUAAAAAUAAUUAAAAAUUUAGUAAUCAAAGUAAAACACAAGUGAUAUUAUUCUAGUGAUCAUUUCUGUACUUGACCCUAAUUUUUUUUUCAAAACACUGUUAAAAAACGAUUAAUUUCUCGUUUUGGCCGGAGUUAAAAUUUUUAAUAUAUUUGUUUUUAUUAAAUUUAAAAAUUAUAAUUUUACAUAAUAUAUUUUUGAUAGAAUACAUAUGAUAUAAUUUUAAUCAGUGACACCUGUUAAAGCUUGUUAGAUCUCCUGUAUCUCUUUCAAUCUGGUGGUAAAUGAAGCAAUCAAUGAGUAUUACAACCAGCCACAUGUCAUUCAAUUCACAUUAUAUCAAUCUUUUCCCUUUUCUCUCAUUUUGGUAGUUAAUUCCUUUUUUUGUCAUCGAAAUUAUAUUUUUUUCUCAAAUUGAUAAUUUCCUUAAUCCGUUAAGUUUGUUAAAAGAAACCUUAAUCUUAUUUAAAUUAUAUCUUUUUUUAUUUAUUUUGAUACUUAAACAUUUUUGUCACAUGUGGUAUGUAAUUUAUUUUUUCUUAAGUUGUUAGUUUAAUUAUUACUCAAAUAGUUAAGUCUAUUUAAAAAAAGAUAACUAUUUAAAAAUUACCAUAUUCGAACUAGCUAGGCCAUUAGUUCCUGGUUUAAUCAGUUUAUCUAGUUUGAUGAAAUCAAUUAUUAAAAAUUCAUAAAAAUAAAAAUGUUAAAAAAUAGAGAAAACUAGCUCAACUAGUUUUUUUUUUAAGCUCGACUCAAUCAAUCUGUAUUAGUUUGUAGGUUAAUCGGUUCAAGCCCUAUCUCCAAACUAGUAUCCCAGUUGGUUCCUAGUAUUAAGGGUGAGCAAAAUUUGAAUCGACUCGAAAAAAUUUAAAAAAGUUCGAAUUUUGAAUUAUUCGAAUCGAGUUAAUCGAAUCAACUCGAUUUUUUUUUAAUUUCAAGUUCGAGUCGAGUUGAGUUUUUGAAUUCAAAUAACUCGAAUAAUUCGAUUAAGCCGAAUACCAAACUAUAAUAUUUUACAUUUUACCUCAAACCCCAAACCCUUUUACUUUUCCCCCAAAACUUUACUCAUUCCUCCUUGUCUGCCCCUGUAACGCCCCAAAUUUUGAAUUGUUACUGUUAGUUUCUAUUUAUAAGUAAGUAUUUGCUUCAGUGGUUAAGUGUUAUGUGUUGGUGUUUGGAUCGGGGGUUCAAGUUAUACUUUUAGAGAAUUUUAUUAUUCUUUUGUUUCAACUCUUAUCCUUGAAUGUUUGAAUUAAGUUUGUAUCUGCAUUAAUUUGUGUCAAGAACGAGUCUUCUAGUUUAAUGGUUAAGUUUUGUAUUACCUAUGGUCUCGUGUUCGAGUCUCUGCGUAGGCAAUAAAGAAAUAUUUUGGCGUGCUAUCGGGAAAUCAGUUUUAUUUUAAUAAUUAUUUUUAUUUAAAACUUAUUUUUAGUUUUUUUUAUUUUGGUUCUUCUCCUUCCUUACUGUUCAUUUCCUUCUUCUUUUUUCUCCUUUUGUAACACCCCUAACUCGAAUCCGUCGCUGGAACAGGGUUAGGAGUAUUAUCGAAGUUUACAAUUUAAACAGGCAGAAAAAUUAAACAUUUCAUAACAUAUAGCAUUCAUGUUAGAAACCAAUCAUAAUUAUGCAUAUUGUCCCUAAUACGAGCCCUCGAGGCCCAAAAUACACCUUAGAAAUAAUUCGGGACUAAAUUGAAAAUUCGGAGCAUUUUUUAGAAACUUAUAAAAUUUUUAAAACUACAGGGGUCACAUGGCCGUGUGGCUAGGCUGUGUGACUCAUAUGGCCAACAGACACGCCCAUGUCUUAGACCGUGCGGGUAUUCGAAAUAGGGACACACGGUCGUGUCCCAGCCUGUGUCCAUGCCCGUGUAACUCACUAACUUGGGCCACACGGUCAAGCCAUACGCCCGUGUGCCAGGCAUUGUGAGCAUACUAACUUGCAUUCUUUAAAAGAUACAGGGGACACACGGCCAUGUCACCUGACCGUGUGUGACACACGCCCGUGUCUCUGCCCGUGUGGACAAAAAUAGGCUAUUUUUCAAGUCAUAAAUAUUCAUGUAUUCUUUAAAAGAUACAGGGGACACACGCCCGUGUCUCUGCCCGUGUCUCUGCCCAAUUUGGUACCAACCUAAACACAACAAUUUGCAUAUAACCAAGUCAUAAAUAGGCACCCAAAACCAGCCAAAAUCAAGCUUAAAACAUGUAAUAUCAUCACAUACAACCAAUAUGCCCUUAGGCACCUCAAAUGACAACUUAUAAUAUUAAUAUUCAUGUAUUCAAUAUAGCCAAAUGUAUAACUCACUUAUAUGCAUAUUUUCAUCCAAAGUUUAUUAAGCAAAUUUACAUCAUUUCUUACCAAAUUACUUACCUUCCAAAACAUAUUAUUUGGUGCUAAAAUGUAUUUAACAUACUAACAUAUUUAACUUAUAUGCCUUACAUAUCCAGACACCAAUUCAUGAUCAAUUCUUCACAUUUCAAAACACAUAUAUGAAAUGCACAUUAGGUUACCUUUUUACCACUAUUUAUUCAAUCAUGAACCAAACUACAUGUCAACCAUAAUAAGCAAAAUAUGCACAUAUCCAAAAUUCCAUAACACAAACAAAACAAAUGGCUAAUCUCAACAAAACACAUAUAAGCCAACAUUGGCCAAACUAAUCUAUACAUGCCAUUAUAACCGAAAUUAAACAACCGAAUGUACCAAAAGAGCCAAUGGAUAGUGUGAUAUAGCUCCGACAAGCUUCCAACCAGAACGAGCUUUCGAAUCACUAAAAACACAGAAAAUAACACAGAGUAAGCAUUCAAGCUUAGUAAGUUCAUAUAGCAUAUAAUUUAACUUACCAUUUAGUCACAUUUAAGGUAAGCAUACAAAACAUAUCCAAACUCAAUUAGGAUAAAAGCCUCAACACAUAUCCUCAUCAACCAUGUUAGUCAUGUAAUUCAUAUAAAUAUCAAGAAACAUGUAUGAGCUCAACAAUAAUCAAACUUCUAUGUACAUAUAAUUUCCACAUCAUGUAUUUACAUAUCAUGUACAAAUCAUUUUCAUAUAUCUCAUGUAAAUACAUGUAGUAGUUUGUAUUGAACUCGUGUAAUAUCAUAACAGAACAGUGCCCGUUGAACCAUUUAGAUUAUUUUUGGAUACGCGGAUAGUACACAUGAGGUGUACUGAACUGUAAUUCAUCAAUUCAUGUACAUGUAUGCUCAUAUGAGCUAUAAACAGUAAGCUCCUCUGAAAUGAAUAACAAUAAGCUUGUACAAGCUGAAUAUCGGUAAGCUCAUAUGAGCUGAGUAUCGGUAAGCUCAUAAGAGCUGAAAUCGAUAACCCUAAUGACAUGUUUACCAAGCCAUGACAUUCCACUAACACAUUUAACCUUUAAAAUUAUUUCAAUUUACAAGUUUAAGAAAGAACAUAAAAGAUGAUACUUGGCUUUAUUUUACUAAAUUUUGUUAUUUACUUAAUUACUUAUUUAACCUUUAAAAUCAUUUCAAUUUACAAGUUUACUAAGCCAUGACAUUCCACUAACACAUUUAAGGGUUAUUUACCAUAUAAGGACCUCUACUUUAAAUUUUUAUAGCUAUUUAAUACCUUUAGCUAUUAGAACUUUACUUUUACACUUUACGCGAUUUAGUCAUUUUUAUCAAAUUGAACAUGUAAACGGUAAAAUUUCUUAACGAAAUUUUCAUAUGGUAAUAUUAUCAUGUUUUCGACCAUAAAAUAAUAAUAAAAUAAAAUUUUUUACUUCAUAUUUGUGGUCCCAAAACUACUAUUCUGAUUUCACUGAAAAUGGGUUGUUACACCUUUCUUGCUUGAUUGCUUCCGUAAGUUUGCUAUCGUGCUUAAUUGGGCAUUCUGUGUGGUUUCUUACAUUGAUUGCAAGGAUAUUGCGUAAGUUAUGUUCUUGUUUUUUACCUAUUUUUUCUAGACUUCGUCUGUUUCGUCGAGGUUAGAUAUUACUGUUAAUGGUUGUAAAAUCUCGUUAAUAGUUCCAAUGGAUCUUCUUUUAGGAAAAGGUUUCAAAAGUAACAUUUCCCUGUGAGAUUAGGUCCGAAUUGUUGUUGCUUGCUUGUCAGUAAUUGAAAAUUUCUAUUUUGGAUAGCUGCGUCGAAGUUUUCGACGAACGUUAGUUUUGAGUGCUAAUUUUGGCAUUUUGAGUUGAUUUAGUCAUUUAAUUGGUCAAUUAAUUGUCGUUUUAGGUUUCAGAUUCUUGUGUGUUGCUUCUACAUCGAAACUACAUCAAGUGUGUAACGAAAACUCAUUUUUCUAUGAUUUACGAAUGCUAGAAAACAUGGCUGUUAAUCACACGACCGUGUGUUAGGCCAUGUAACUUACUGUUUAUGUAUUAAAGUCACCGAGCCAAGGACGUGGGCAUGUGUCCUAGUCGUGUAACUUACUAUUUGUGGAUUGGAGUCACACAGGCUAGGGACACGUUUGUGUGUCCAGACUGUGUGAAGGAAAUUUUAUGAAUUGAGUCACACAAGCGUGUGCUUGACUAUGUCAUAGACCGUGUAACUCACUUUUUUGAGCCACACGAUCGUGUGCCAGGCCGUGUGAUAGAUCGUGUGCUACACGGGCCAGCCUUCCGGGACAUGUGAAUCCACACAAGUGUGUGGGUCAAAAUUUCAAAUUUUUUAUUAGGGCCGUAAACAUCAUUCCAGUCAAACGUAGGCCUACUGUAGGGUCUGGAUGAUCUGAUUUGGGUUAUAAAACCCAUUGACUAGUUAUCUGUUUCUGUAUAAACUGUUAUUUUAUAUACAUCAUAGAAUUGUAAACUAGAGAGUAGUUGUAUUCUGUAUUAAUUGAGUAUAACCUGAAAUUUGUAACAUCGUAUGCUUAUAUCUGUAUCUGUAACAUUGCAUCUGCAUUGGGGUUGGGAUUGAAUAAGGAGGAAGUUAUGGCAGUUAAAUAAUCUGCUAAGACCGGUGGCUAAGACACGUAAAUGUAUCUAAUUUUGGUGACUUUCGCAUUCUGUCCUAGCAAUUAGUCUGCAACCUUUUGAACGUGACAUAUGGUCACUAUGUGGUGUGUAGGGACGAUACCCUUUUUGGUGUGUAGGGUUGGAUGAAGAUGGUGUGUAAUUGACAUAUUCUACUCUAUUUCCGUAUAUAAUUCUGAGAACUGUUCGAACUUUAAGAAAUUGAAGAUCUAUUUUGUUGUUUCACUUAAUAAUAAUAUAAGUUAUACGCUAUGUAUAACACCCUUUACCCGAGACCGUGGUCGGAGUCGAGCAUGAGGUGUUACUUGACUUAAAUUAAAAGUUCAGGGCAUAAAAAUUUACUUUCAAAAUUAAUUUCACCAUUCACAAUAAAGUUGUCCACCUGAGCAGCAGUCACUAAAUUAAUUAUAACUCAAGCUAAGAAACUCGAAAUUUAGAUUCGUAAAUUUUCCCUGAAACUAGACUCAUAUAUCUAUUCACAAAAUUUUUUUAGAAUUUUUGAUUUGACCAAUUAGUACAGUUUAUUAGUUGAAGUCUCCCCAGUUUCACUAAUCGACUAUCCUGACCUCUCGUCACUAAAAUUCAAUUAUCUCAUUAUACACACUUGGCAUGCUGAUUCCACUUAUUUAUACUUAAAAUAUACUCAUUAAGGAAUUUAAAAAUAUAAUUUAUAACUCAUAAUUCUAUUUGUACAAUUUUUAAUGAAUUUCUAAAGUCAGAACAGGGGACUUCAGAAUCAUUCUGACUCUGUCUCACUAAAAUUAAAAUAUCUAAAAGUAUAUAACUCUUUUACUUACUCUAUUGCUUUCAUGUGAAAGUAGACUCAUUCAGAUUUAAUUUCAUCUCUCGCUAAACUUAUAAUUCUAUUUCUACAAUUUUUGGUGAUUUUUCAAAGUUACAUCAAUGCUGCUGCCCAAAAAUAGUUCCAUUGAAAUUUUUUUAAAAAAAUUCAAUAUAACCCCUUUAUAAUUAUCUAACCUUCCCUGCAAAUUUCAAAUCACAACCAAUUUCAGUAUUUCAACUACUUCACUUAAAUACUAAUGAAGUUCAACUAAUCAACCAUUUCAAACUAAAAACAUGUAUAGUUCAAUGUUUAACACAACCAUCACAUUCAAAUUUAUUCAUUCUAUUACUUUUUACUUCAAUUCCCUAUACAUGUCAUAUAAAUCCAAAAAGUUGUUUAACAAAAUCUACAGGAGUAAAUCUGGAUAGUGUGAUUCUUGGUGUAGAUCUGAUCCUCCGAAUGUAUAAAUACGUCAACCUACAAGAAUCAAUAAACACACAAUUAAGCGUAUAGAAAGCUUAGUAAGUUCAUAGGCACCAAACAUAAAUCUUACCAAACAUUUAUACACUUAUACAUUAUACACCAUUACUAAGUUUACCUGUCAACCACAAUCUUUGGUGAGCUCCUUAGUAUAAACUCACUACUACUUAUUCUUUUACCAUAAUUCCUUUGGGCCCAUUUGUCACUUACCAUCCUUGAUCAAAAUUAAGGAACGGUUACGGAAAAUUGAGUACUUCACUUUCACUUUGCCAUAGUAUAACUAUGGUCUUACGUAUGAUCAAGCAUCACUUGUCCUUGAUAAGAUAAGUGUAGCUAGGCAACCACUUAUCACUUUGUCACUUGAUCAGAUAAGUGUAGCUAAAGCUACCACUUAUCAUUUUAUCACCACUUAUCACUUGUUCUUGAUUAGAUAAGUGUAGCUAAAGUUACCACUUAUCACUUUGUCACCACUUAUCACUUGUUCCUAAUCAGAUAAGUGUAGCUAAAACUACCACUUAUCACUUUGUCACUUGAUCAGAUAAGUGUAGCUAAGCUAUCACUUAUCACUUUGUCACUUGAUCAGAAGUACUCAAAUCCGGUGUUCUACUCAAUUUGAUCAUUUAUUCAGUUUUCACAUUUUUAUUUUAUUCUCAUUUCAUCAAUAAAUAUAUAUAUUUCAUCAUACAUUAUAUAAUUCAUGAAAUUAACAUUUAAUCAUUAAAUUUUAGCCAUAUGAACUUACCUGGGUUGAUUUGCUGAAUUUGUAAAAGUUUAGGGACUAAUCAGCUACUUUUUCUUUUCCUCGACUUGUUUCGGGUUCUCAAUAUGAUUCAAAUAUAUGAAAAACCAACUUGGAGGGACUCUUCAAUGGUGUUUUUUGCUAAAAAAUAUGAGGAAUUGCCUAGAAACACUUUUAGUUAAGAUUUUUAUUUGUUAAUUUUUACAAAAUUUCCAAUUUUGCCCUUAUUACAUCACUUUUUCAAAUUUUUCUUCUCUUAUGUCGUCUCAACUAUUCCAUAUUGGCAUAUUUAUGCCUUAAGUCCCUCCUUAUUUACCACUUAAGCUAUUUAAUCACUUUUAACAAAUUUUACAUUAUUUUCAGUUUAAUCCUUUUUAAUUAAUUAACCACCCAAACGUUAGAAUUUUCUAACGAAAAUUUAAUACCAACUCAAUGACACUCCAUAAAUGUUUCUAAAAAUAUUUAUGGCUCGAUUUAUGAGGUUGAGGUUUCAAUACCUCAUUUUCGAUUCUAAUUAUUUUAAUAUUUAUUCUUAGUACACUAUUCACUAUUUCAAAAAUUUUCCUAACUUCGCAUUUAACUUAUACUCACUAAAUUAAUAAUAUUUUCUACUCAUUUGUCAAAUUUAAUGAUCUCGAAUUACCAUUCCGACACCACUGAAAAUUCAGGCCAUUACAACUCUCCCCCCAUUUUGGAAAUUUCAUCCCCGAAAUUUCGUACCUGAAAAUAAAUUCGGAUACUGAAAUCUCAGCAAUUCCUCUGUUUCCCAGGUUGCCUCCUCUUUAACCUUAACUAGUGGUACAUGUUUAUUCCUCAACUCUUUAACCUUCUGAGCUAAAAUUUUCACCGGUUCCUCUGAAUAAGUCAUGUCAGGUUGAAGCUCUAUUUCCGUAUGAGGAAUUACAUGUGAUGGAUCUGAUCUGUACCGUCUCAACAUAGACACAUGAAACACAUUAUGAAUCUUUUCAAGUUCCGGGGGCAAAGCUAAUCUAUAGGUUACCGGACCGAUUCUUUCAAUGAUUUCAUACGGCCCAAUAAAUCGUGGGCUGAGUUUCCCCUUUUUGCUGAACCGCAAAACUUUCUUCCACGUGACACUUUCAAAAAUACACGAUCACCCACAUUAAACUCUAUAUCCCUUCUCUUCAAAUUUGCAUAUGAUUUUUGCCGAUCGGAGGUAGCUUUUAAACAAUCUCGAAUAAUACGAACUUUUUCUUCAGUUUCCUGAGUCAAUUCCACUCCCACCAGUUUCGAUUCACUUAAUUCAGACCAAUAUAAUGGAGUUCUACACUUUCUUCCAUACAAAGCUUCAAACGGUGCCAUUUUAAUGCUAGUUUGAUAACUAUUAUUAUAAGCAAAUUCGGCUAAAGGUAAAUACCUUUCCCAGCUACCGCCGAACUCAAGUAUACAACACCUUAACAUAUCUUCUAAAAUCUGAAUCACUCGCUCUGACUGCCCAUCUGUCUAGGGAUGAAAAGCUGUGUUGAAAUUUAAUUUGGUGCCUAAAGCUUCCUGUAAUUUACUCUAAAAUCUCGAGGUAAAUCUCGGAUCUCGAUAUGAAAUAAUAGAUGUCGGUACCCCAUGUAACCUCACUAUCUCAGACACAUAUAACUCCGCUAACUUUUCAAGCUGAUAAUCUGCUCUGACUGGAAUAAAAUGUGCUGACUUAGUUAACCGAUCAACAAUCACCCAUAUUGAAUGUUUCUUCUUCAGAGUUAUUAGUAAUCCAGAUACAAAAUCCAUUGUAACAUGUUCCCAUUUCCAAUCUGGAAUCAUAAUGGGCUGUAACAACCCUGUCGGCACUUGAUGCUCAGCUUUCACCUGUUGACAGAUCAAACAUCUUGCUACAUACUCAAAGAUUUCCCGUUUCAUUCCGGGCCACCAAUACAUUUUCUUCAAAUCACAAUACAUUUUUGUACUACCCGGGUAAAUAGAACACAUACUACUGUGAGCCUCUGAUAAAAUAUCAUUUUUCAAGUUUAAAUUAUUCGGAAUACAUAUUCUAUUACGAUAAUAUAACAUACCAUUUUCAUCAAUGGAGUAUUCUGAGCUUAACUUAUCUUGAACCAUCUGUCGUUUUAUCAUCAAUUUUGGGUCAUCAUCCUAUAACUCCCGAAUCCGUUGAAAAAACACGGGUUUAGCCUUUAAUUCUGCUAGUACAGAACCAUCCUCAUUAAUAGAUAAAUGAGCAUUCAAUGCCCGUAGUGCAAAUAAUGAUGAUUUCCGACUAAGCGCAUCUGCUGCGGUAUUUGCUUUCCCUCGGUGAUAGUCAAUGACAAGAUCAUAAUCUUUCAGCAACCCCAACCAUCGUCUCUGUGUCAAAUUUAACUCUUUCUGAGUCAUUAAAUACUUCAAGCUUUUAUGAUCAGUAUACACGUAACAUUUCUCACCAUAUAAGUACUCUUCAUAUCUUCAAAGCAAACACGAUCGCUGCCAAUUCCAAAUCAUGUGUAGGAUAAUUCUUCUCGUGCGGUUUCAGUUGCCGAGAAGCAUAUGCCACCACUUUGCCUGACUGAAUAAGUACACAGCCCAACCCAUUUACAGACGCAUCACUAUAUACUACAAACGGUACACCCGAUUCUGGUUGAGUCAACACUGGAGCCUCUGUCAACAUCUUUUUCAACUAAUCGAAACUCCGCUGACAUUCAUCUAACCAUAUAAAUUCAACAUUCUUUUGUAGCAAUCGAGUCAACGGUAAGGUAAUCAUUGAGAAAUCUUUGACAAAUCGACGAUAAUAACCUGCCAAUCGUAGAAAACUCUGCACUUCAGUCACAUUCUUCGGAACUUUCCAAUUUAUCACUGCUGCUACCUUACUUGGAUCCACUCUUAUUCCAUCAGCUGAUACAAUAUGACCCAAAAACGCAACUUCAUGGAGCCAAAAUUCACAUUUGCUAAAUUUGGCAUACAAUUGUUUCUCCCACAAAGUCUGUAAUACAAUCCUUAGAUGUUGUGCAUGUUCGGACUCUGUCUUUGAAUAAAUCAAUAUAUCGUCAAUGAACACAACCACAAAUCUAUCCAAAUAUGACUGAAAAAUUCUAUUCAUCAAAUCCAUAAAAGCAGCAGGGGCAUUGGUUAAACCAAAUGGCAUCACCAAAAAUUCAAAAUGACCAUAUUGAGUUCGAAAGGCAGUUUUCGGCACUUCACACUCUUUAACUUUCAACUGAUAAUACUCGGAUCGAAGAUCUAUCAUGGAAAAUACUGCAGCACCUUUCAACUGAUCAAACAAAUCAUCAAUAUGAGGCAAAGGAUUUUUAUUCUUUACUGUUACCUUAUUCAACUGUCUGUAAUCUAUACACAGUCUUAAAAAACCAUCCUUCAUUUUCACAAACAAGACAGGUGCACCCCAGGGCGACAUACUCGGUCUGAUGAACCCUUUAUCUAAUAACUCCUGCAGCUGCGCCUUCCGUUCUUUUAACUCGACUGGAGCCAUUCUGUACGGUGUCAUUGAGAUAGGAGUUGUUCCGGGGAUCACAUCAAUUACAAAUUCAACUUCUCUAUCAGGUGGUAGACCGGGUAACUCUUCAGGGAAUUCAUUCACCAUUGGCACUUGUUCGAGCUUCAAAUCAGAACCCUGAGUAUCCAGGAUAUAGGCCAAGAAUGCUUCGUUGCCUUUGCGUAAUAACCUCUGAGCAGAGAGAGCUAAAAUAAUUCUGACUGUAUCACCCAGCUUUUCAGACCCAACUGAGAUUAUAUCUCCCGUUUGACAUUUCAAACUGAUCUGUUUAUCACGACAAUUCACUACCACAUCAUGUCUCAUUAACCAGUCCAUCCCCAGAAUAAUGUCAAAUUCCCGAAAAGGUAACAACAUCAAAUCAGCGAGGAAUUCAUAGCCUUUCACUUUCAGUGGACAAUUACGACAUAUCAAAUUAACCAUCACACUUUGACCUAAUGGGUUUGUGACUUGUAUAUCAAAUUCAGUGGACUCAACAGAUAAUUUCUUUUUAGAUGCUAACAUAGUGCAAAUAUAUGAAUGAGUAGAUCCAGGGUCUAUCAAUGCAUAAACAAUAACAUCAUAAAGAUAGAAAGUACCAGCAAUUACAUCAGGAGCCGUAGCCUCUUUCCUUGCUCGAAUGGCGUAGGUACGUGCUGGUGCUCUAUUCUCUGAUCGACCAACUGAUUCCCUCGUACCCGAACGGGUAGUCCCUGUAGCACUGCUCUGGCCCGAACGUCUACUUUUUUGGGGAAUGGUUCUCUGUAUUUCUUUCUGUUCCACUUCAUCUUUUUAUAGUCGGGGACAAUCUCGAAUAAGAUGAUUAGUACCCCCACAUUUUUAACAAGCCCCCAUCUUGGUCCUGCAUUCUCUGAAAUGAUAUCUUCCACAAUAUUGACACUUAGGCCGGGGAACAUUCUGAACACUGCUCACACUUGCUGGAGGUCUAUCGAAUACCCUGAAAUCAGAUUGUCUUGGUCUAUCUCUACCCGAUCUUCUCGACAUUGAUGUAGUUCGACUAAUUUCUUCUCUAGAUUUGUUCACUGGUAAAUCUAAAAAUGACUUAGAAGCACCUCUUUUGAAUGGCUCUUUACUUUUUCGAUCCCGCUACAUUUUUCUGUUGUAUACUUCUUCGAGCUUUUGAGCACGGUUUGACAGAACAGGGAACUCUCGUAUUUCAUUACCCCCAAUCAUCAUUCUAAUUUCAUCAUUUAACCCUUCUUCAAACCUGAUACACAUUUCUUCUUUAAUAAGUACAAUGUCUCGGGCAUAUUUGCUGAGGUAGACAAAUUCUCUUUCGUAUUCAGCCACUGAUUUAUCUCCCUGGCGUAGGUCGAGAAAUUCCCUUUUAUUUUUAUCCAAAUACCGUCUGCCCACAUAUUUCUUCUUAAAUUCAUUUUGGAAAAAUUCCCAAUAAAUUUUCUCUGUCGGAACCACAUCCUCAAUCGUCUCCCACCAACUAUAAGCUUCUUCUUUCAAUAGAGACACAACACAUCUCAAAUAAUCAUCUGGUGAGCAAGCCAUUUCUUUAAAAAUUCUUAUUAAACUCUGUAACCAAUAUUCAGCUUUGACGGGAUCUUUAUCAGUCCUUCCCCGAAAUUCUUCGGCUCUAAGUUUUUUAAGCCUUUCCAAUGGAGAACGCUUUCUGGAUUCAGUCGUUGUAAAAGGUGGAGGAGCAACCGGGUGUACCACCGAUGGAGCAGUAGGGGGAGGAGGUGGUUCAGCCUGAUUUCUUUCUUGCCUCAUUUCAGUAUAUCAUUGAUUCAUAAUCCCAUAAAUCAUAUUCUUUAACUCUUGCUCUCGCAUUUGGGAGAUCGGAACAUCACUGCUUGUUCUUUGUUUAGAAUUAUGUAUUCUACUAUUAACUUCUUCUUUCUCAGUACGUUUAGGUAUAUCUAACAUCUCCAUAACCGGAGAAUAUCUACUAUUAACUUCUUCUUACUGGAUUCAGUCGUUGUAAGAGGUGGAGAAGCAACCGGGGGUACCACCGAUGGAGCAGUAGGCAGAGGAGGUGGUUCAGCCUGAUUUCUUUCUUGCCUCAUUUCAGUAUACCACUGAUUCAUAAUCCCAUAAAUCAUAUUCUUUAACUCUUGCUCCCGUAUUUGGGAGAUCAGAACACCACUGCUUGUUCUUUGUUCAGAAUUAUGUAUUCUACUAUUAACUUCUUCUUGCUCAGUACGUUCAAGUAUAUCUGACAUCUCUAUAACCGGAGAAUAUCUAUAAAAAUAACAAAGAUUAGAUCGCAUCAUACGCAUUACACUAUCACAGAUUUAUAUGGCAUGUAUUUCUAAACACUUUACACUUCACACAUAUUCCGAGAACCGGCUAAACCUGGAUCUGAUACCAAUAAAAUGUAACACCCUUUACCCGAGACCGUUUCCAGAGUCGAGCAUGAGGCGUUACUUGACUUAACUUAAAAGUUCAGGGCAUAAAAAAUUACUUUCAAAAUUAAUUUCACCAUUCACAAUAAAGUUGUCCACCCACGCAGCAAUCUCUAAAUUAAUUAUAACUCAAGAUGCGAAACUCGAAAUUUAGAUCUGUAUAUUUUACCUAAAACUAGACUCAUAUAUCUAUUCACUACAAAAUUUUCAGACUUUUUGGUUUGGCAAAUUAGUACAGUUUAUUAAUUGAAGUCUCCCCUGUUUCACUAAUAGACUAUCCUGACCUCUCGUCACUAAAAUUCAAUUAUCUCAUUAUACAAACUUGACUUGGUGUUUUCAAUUAUUUUUACUUAAAACAGACUCAUUAAGGAAUUUAAACAUAUAAUUUAUAACUCAUAAUUCAUUUUGUACAAUUUUUAAUGAAUUUCUAAAGUCAAAACAGGGGACUUCAAAAUCAUUCUGACUCUGUCUCACUAAAAUUCAAAUAUCUAAAAGUAUAUAACUCUUUUGCUUACUCUAUUGCUUUAAUGUGAAAGUAGGCUCAUUCAGCUUUAAUUUCAUCUCUCACUCAACUUAUAAUUCUAAGUCCACAUUUUUGGUGAUUUUUCAAUGUUACAUCAAUACUGCUGUCCAAAAACUGUUCCAUUGAAAUUUUUUUAAAAAAUUUCAAUAUAACCCUUUUAUAAUUAUCUAACCUUCCCUGCAAAUUUUAAAUCACAACCAAUUUCAGUAUUUCAACCACUUCACUUAAAUACUAAUGAAGUUCAACCAAUCAACCAUUUCAAACUAAAAACAUGCAUAGUUCAAUGUCUAACACAACCAUCACAUUCAAAUUUACUUUGCAUAUUUAGGUAUUCAUUCUUUUACUUUUUACUUCAAUUCCCUAUACAUGCCAUAUAAAUCCAAAAACUUGUUUAACAAAAUCUACCGGAGUAAAUCUUGAUAGUGUGAUUCUUGGUGUAGAUCCGAUCCUCUGAAUGUAUAAAUACGUCAAUCUACAAGAAUCAAUAAACGCACAAGUAGGCUUAAUAAACACACAAGUAAGCUUAUAGAAAGCUUAGUAAGUUCAUAGGCACCAAACAUAAAACUUACCAAACAUUUAUACACUUAUACAUUAUACACCAUUACUAAGUUUACCUGUCAACCACAUUCUUUGGUGAGUUCCUUGGUAUAAACUCACUAAUACUUAUUCUUUUACCAUAAUUCCUUUGGGCCCAUUUGUCACUUACCAUCCUUGAUCAAAAUUAAGGAACGGUUACGGAAAAUUGAGUACUUCACUUUCACUUUGCCAUAGUAUAACUAUGGUCUUACGUAUGAUCACUUAUCACUUGUCCUUGAUCAGGUUAGUGUAGCUAGGCUACCACUUAUCACUUGUUCCUGAUCAGAUAAGUGUAGCUAAGCUAUCACUUGUCACUUUGUCACUUGAUCAGAAGUACUCAAAUCCGGUGUUCCGCUCAAUUUGAUCAUUUAUUCAGUUUGCGCAUUUUUAUUUUAUUCUCAUUUCAUCAAUAAUAUAUAUAUAUAUAUAUAUAUAUAUAUAUAUAUAUUUCACCAUACAUUAUAUAAUUCAUGAAAUUAACAUUUAAUCAUUAAAUUUCAUCCAUAUGAACUUACCUAGGUCGAUUUUCUGAAUUUGUAAAAGUUCAAGGACUAAUCAGCUACUUUUUCUUUUCCUCGACUUGUUUCGGGUUCUCGAUAUGAUUCAAAUAUAUGAAAAACCAGCUUGGAGGGACUCUUCAAUGGCGUUUUUUGCUGAGAAAUAUGAUGAAUUGCCUAGAAACUCUUUUAGUUAAGAUUUUUAUUUGUUAACUUUUACAAAAUUUCUAAUUUUGCCCUUAUUACAUCACUUUUUCAGAUUUUUCUUCUCUUAUGCUGUCUCAACUAUUCCAUAUUAGCAUAUUUAUGCCUUAAGUCCCUCCUUAUUUACCACUUAAGCUGUUUAAUCACUUUUAACAAAUUUUACAUUAUUUUCAGUUUAGUCCUUUUUAAUUAAUUAACCACCCAAACGUUAGAAUUUUCUAACGAAACUUUAAUACCAAUUCAAUGACACUCUAUAAAUGUUUCUAAAAAUAUUUAUGGCUCGAUUGAUGAGUUUGAGGUUUCGAUACCUCAUUUUCGAUUCUAAUUAUUUUAAUAUUUAUUCUUAGUACACUAUUCACUAUUUCAAAAAUUUUCCUAACUUCGCAUUUAACUUAUACUUACUAAAUUAAUAAUAUUUUCUACUCAUUUGUCAAAUUUAAUGAUCUCGAAUUACCAUUCCGACACCACUGAAAAUUCAGGCCAUUACAACUCUCCCCCCAUUUUGGAAAUUUCGUCCCCGAAAUUUCGUACCUGAAAAUAAAUUCGAAUACUGAAAUCUCAUCAAUUCCUCUGUUUCCCAGGUUGCCUCCUCAGAUCCAUGUCGAUUCCAUAACACCUUAACUAGUGGUACAUGUUUAUUCCCUAACUCUUUAACAUCCCAAGCUAAAAUUUUCACCGGUUCCUCUGAAUAAGUCAUGUCAGGUUGAAGCUCUAUUUCCGUAUGAGGAAUUACAUGUGAUGGAUCUGAUUUGUACCGUCUCAACAUAGACACAUGAAACACAUUAUGAAUCUUUGCAAGUUCCGGGGGCAAAGCUAAUCUAUAUGUUACCGGACCGAUUCUUUCAAUGAUUUCAUACGGCCCGAUAAAUCGUGGGCUGAGUUUUCCUUUUUUGCUGAACCGCAAAACUUUCUUCCACGGUGACACUUUCAAAAAUACACGAUCACCCACAUUAUACUCUCUAUCCCUUCUCUUCAAAUCUGCAUAUGAUUUUUGCUGAUCGGAGGCAGCUUUUAAGCAAUCUCGAAUAAUACGAACUUUUUCUUCAGUUUCCUGAGUCAAUUCCACUUCCACCAGUUUCAAUUCACUUAAUUCAGACUAAUAUAAUGAAGUUCUACACUUUCUUCCAUACAAAGCUUCAAACGGUGCCAUUUUAAUGCUAGUUUGAUAACUAUUAUUAUAAGCAAAUUCGGCUAAAGGUAAAUACCUUUCCCAGCUACCGCCGAACUCAAGUAUACAACACCUUAACAUAUCUUCUAAAAUCUGAAUCACUCGCUCUGACUGCCCAUCUGUCUGGGGAUGAAAAGCUGUGUUGAAAUUUAAUUUGGUGCCUAAAGCUUCCUGUAAUUUACUCUAAAAUCUCGAGGUAAAUCUCGGAUCUCGAUCUGAAAUAGUAGAUGUCGGUACCCCAUGUAACCUCACUAUCUCAGACACAUAUAACUCCGCUAACUUUUCAAGCUGAUAAUCUGCUCUGACUGGAAUAAAAUAUGCUGAUUUAGUUAACCGAUCAACAAUCACCCAUAUCGAAUCUUUCUUCUUCGAAGUUACUGGUAAUCCGGAUACAAAAUCCAUCGCAACAUGUUCCUAUUUCCACUCUGGAAUCAUAAUGGGCUGUAACAACCCUGUCGGCACUUGAUGCUCAGCUUUCACCUGUUGACAGAUCAAACAUCUUGCUACAUACUCACAGAUUUCCCAUUUAAUUCCGGGCCACCAAUACAUUUUCUUCAAAUCACAAUACAUUUUUAUACUAACCCGGUGAAUAGAACACAUACUACUGUGAGCCUCUGAUAAAAUAUCAUUUUUCAAGUUUAAAUUAUUCGGAAUACAUAUUCUAUUACGAUAAUAUAACAUACCAUUUUCAUCAAUGGAGUAUUCUGAGCUUAACUUAUCUUGAACCAUCUGUCGUUUUAUCAUCAAUUUUGGGUCAUCAUCCUGUAACUCCUGAAUCCAUUGAAAGAACACGGGUUUAGCCUUUAAUUCUGCUAGUACAGAACCAUCCUCAUUAAUAGAUAAAUGAGCAUUCAAUGCCCGUAGUGCAAAUAAUGAUGAUUUCCGACUAAGUGCAUCUGCUGCGGCAUUUGCUUUCCCUGGGUGAUAGUCAAUGACAAGAUAAUAAUCUUUCUGCAACUCUAACCAUCGUCUCUAUCUCAAAUUUAACUCUUUCUGAGUCAUUAAAUACUUUAAGCUUUUAUGAUCAGUAUACACGUAACAUUUCUCACCAUAUAAGUAGUGUCUCCUUAUCUUCAAAGCAAACACGAUCGCUGCCAAUUCAAAAUCAUGUGUAGGAUAAUUCUUAUCGUGCGGUUUCAGUUGCCGAGAAGCAUAUGCCACCACUUUGCCUGACUGAAUAAGUACACAGCCCAACCCAUUUACAGAUGCAUCACUAUAUACUACAAAUGGUACACCCAAUUCUGGUUGAGUCAACAUUGGAGCCUCUGUCAACAUCUUUUUCAACUGAUCGAAACUCCGCUGACAUUUAUCUGACCAUAUAAAUUCAACAUUCUUUUGUAGCAAUCGAGUCAACUGUAAGGUAAUCAUUGAGAAAUCUUUGAUAAAUCGACAAUAAUAACAUACCAAUCGUAGAAAACUCCACACUUCAAUAACAUUCUUCGGAACUUUCCAAUUUACCAUUGCCGCUACCUUACUUGGAUCCACUCUUAUUCCAUGAGCUGAUACAAUAUGACCCAAAAAUGCAACUUCAUGGAGCCAAAAUUCUCAUUUGCUGAAUUUGGCAUACAAUUGUUUCUCUCGCAAAGUCUGUAAUACAAUCCUUAGAUGUUGUGCAUGUUCGGACUCUGUCUUUGAAUAAAUCAAUAUAUCGUCAAUGAACAACCACAAAUCUAUCCAAUUAUGACUGAAAAAUUCUAUUCAUCAAAUCCAUAAAAGCAGCAAGGGCAUUGGUUAAACCAAAUGGCAUCACCAAAAAUUCAUAAUGACCAUAUCGAGUUUGGAAGGCAGUUUUCGGCACAUCACACUCUUUAACUUUCAACUGAUAAUACCCAGAUUGAAGAUCUAUCUUGGAAAAUAUUGCAGCACCUUUCAACUGAUCAAACAAAUCAUCAAUAUGAGGCAAAGGAUAUUUAUUCUUUACUGUUACCUUAUUCAACUGCCUGUAAUCUAUACACAGUCUUAGAGAACCGUCCUUUUUUUUCACAAACAAGACAGGUGCACCCCAGGGCGACAUACUCGGUCUGAUGAAUCAUUUCUCUAAUAACUCCUGUAACUGCGCCUUCAACUCUUUUAACUCGGCUGGAGCCAUUCUAUACGGUGUCAUUGAGAUAGGAGUUGUUCCGGCGAUCACAUCAAUUACAAAUUCAACUUCUUUAUCAGGUGGUAGACCGGGUAACUCUUCAGGGAACACAUUAGGGAAUUCAUUCACUACUGGCACUUGUUUGAGCUUCAAAUCAGAACCCUGAGUAUCCAUGAUAUAGGCCAAGAAUGCUUCGUUGCCUUUGCGUAAUAACCUCUGAGCAGGGAGAGCUGAAAUAAUUCUGACUGUAUCACCCAUAUUUUCAGACCCAACUGAGAUUAUAUCUCCCGUUUGACAUUUCAAAUUGAUCUGUUUAUCACGACAAUUCACUACCGCAUCAUGUCUCACUAACCAGACCGUCCCAAGAAUAAUGUCAAAUUCUCGAAAAGGUAACAACAUCAAAUCAGCGGGGAAUUCAUAGCCUUUCACUUUUAAUGGACAAUUACGACAUAUCAAAUUAACCAUCACACUUUGACCUAAUGGGUUUGUGACUUGUAUAUCAAAUUCAGUGGACUUAACAGAUAAUUUCUUUUCAGAUGCUAACAUAGUGCAAAUAUAUGAAUGAGUAGAUCCAGGGUCUAUCAAUGCAUAAACAAUAACAUCAUAAAGAUAGAAAGUACCAACAAUUACAUCAGGAGCCGUAGCCUCUUCCCUUGCUCGAAUGGCAUAGGUACGUGCUGGUGCUCUAUUCUUUGAUCGACCAACUGAUUCCCUCGUACCCGAACGGGUAGUCCCUGUAGCACUGCUCUGGCCCGAAUGUCUACUUCUUUGGGGAAUGGUUCUCUGUAUCUCUUUCUGUUCCACUUCAUCUUUUUACAGUCGGGGACAAUCUCGAAUAAGAUGAUUAGUAGCCCCACAUUUUUAACAAGCCCCCAUCUUGGUCCUGCAUUCUCCGAAAUGAUAUCUUCCACAAUAUUGACACUUAGGCCGGGGAGCAUUCUGAACACCGCUCACACUUGCUGCAGGUCUAUCGAAUACCCUGAAAUCAGAUUGUCUUGGUCUAUCUCUACCCGAUCUUCCCAACAUUAAUGUAGUUCGACUAAUUUCUUCUCUAGAUUUCUUCACUGGCAAAUCUAAAAAUGACUUAGAAGCACCUCUUUUGAAUGGCUCUUUACUUUUUCGAUCCCGCUGCAUUUUUCUAUUGUAUACUUCUUCGAGCUUUUGAGCACGGUCUGACAGAACAACGAACUCUCGUAUUUCAUUACCCCCAAUCAUCAUUCUAAUUUCAUCAUUUAACCCUUCUUCAAACCUGAUACACAUUUCUUCUUUAGUAGGUACAAUGUCUCGGGCAUAUUUGCUGAGGUAAACAAAUUCACUUUCGUAUUCAGCCACUGAUUUAUUUCCCUGGCGUAGGUCGAGAAAUUCCCUUUUAUUUUUAUCCAAAUACCGUCUGCCCACAUAUUUCUUCUUAAAUUCAUUUUGGAAAAAUUCCCAAUAAAUUUUCUCUGCUGGAACCACAGCCUCAAUCGUCUCCCACCAACUAUAAGCUUGCUUCUUUCAAUAGGGACACAGCACAUCUCAAAUAAUCAUCUGGUGAGCAAGCCAUUUCUUUAAAAAUUCUUAUUAAACUCUGUAACCAAUAUUCAGCUUUGACGGGAUCUUCAUCAGUCCUUCCUGAAAUUCUUCGGCUCCAAGUUUUUUAAGCUUUUCCAAUAGAGAACGCUUACUAGAUUCAGUCGUUGUAGGAGGUGGAGGAGUAACCGGGGGUACCAUCGAUGGAGCAGUAGGGGGAGGAGGUGGUUCAGCCUGAUUUCUUUCCUGCCUCAUUUCAAUAUACCACUGAUUCAUAAUCUCAUAAAUCAUAUUCUUUAAUUCUUGCUCUUGCAUUUGGGAGAUCGGAACAUCACUGCUUGUUCUUUGUUCAGAAUUAUGUAUUCUACUAUUAACUUCUUCUUACUUAGUUCGUUCAGGUAUAUCUGACAUCUUUAUAACUGGAGAAUAUAUAUGAAAAUAACAAAGAUUAGAUCGGAUCAUACGCAUCACACUAUCACAGAUUUAUAUGGCAUGUAUUUCUAAACACUUUACACUUCACACAUAUUCCGAGAACCGGCUAAACCGGGAUCUGAUACCAAUAAAAUAUAACACCCUUUACCCAAGACCGUUGCCCGAGUCGAGCAUGAGGCGUUACUUGACUUAACUUAAAAGUUCAGGGCAUAAAAAUUUACUUUCAAAAUUAAUUUCACCAUUCACAAUAAAGCUGUCCACCUGCGCAGGAGUCACUAAAUCAAUUAUAACUCAAGCUACGAAACUCAAAAUUUAGAUCCGUAAAUUUUCCCUAAAACUAGACUCAUAUAAAUAUUCACCAUAAAUUUUUAAGAAUUUUUGGUUUAUCCAAUUAGUAUAGUUUAUUAGUUUAAGUCUCCCUUGUUUCACUAAUAGACUACCCUGACCUCUCGUCACUAAAAUUCAAUUAUCUCCUUAUACAGACUUGACAUGGUGCUUCCAAUUAUUUUUACUUAAAAUAUACUCAUUAAGGAAUUUAAAAAUAUAAUUUAUAACUCAUAAUUACUUUUUUACAAUUUUUAUUGAAUUUCUAAAGUCAGAACAGAGGACUUCAAAAUCAUUCUGACCCUGUCUCACUAAAAUUCAAAUAUCUAAAAGUAUAUAACUCUUUUGCUUACUCUAUUGCUUUCAUGUGAAAGUAUACUCAUUCAGAUUUAAUUUCAUAUCUCACUUAACUUAUAAUUCUAUUUCCACUAUUUUUGGUGAUUUUUCACAGUUACAUCAAUGCUGCUGUCCAAAAACUGGUCCAUUGAAAUUUUUUAAAAAAAUUCAAUAUAACCCCUUUAUAAUUAUCUAACCUUCCCUGCAAAUUUCAAAUCACAACCAAUUUCAGUAUUUCACCUACUUCACUUAAAUACUAAUGAAGUUCAACCAAUCAACCAUUUCAAACUAAAAACAUGUAUAGUUCAAUGUCUAACACAACCAUCACAUUCAAAUUUACUUUGCAUACUUAGUCAUUCAUUCUAUUACUUUUUACUUCAAUUCCCUAUACAUGCCAUAUAAAUCCAAAAAGUUGUUUAACAAAAUCUACCAGAGUAAAUCUAGAUAGUGUGAUUCUUGGUGUAGAUCCGAUCCUCUGAAUGUAUAAAUACGUCAAUCUACAAGAAUCAAUAAACACACAAUUAAGCUUAUAGAAAGCUUAGUAAGUUCAUAAGCACCAAACAUAAAUCUUACCAAACAUUUAUACACUUAUACAUUAUACACCAUUACUAAGUUUACCUGUCAACCACAAUCUUUGGUGAGUUCCUUGUUAUAAACUCACUACUACUUAUUCUUUUACCAUAAUUCCUUUGGGCCCAUUUGUCACUUACCAUCCUUGAUCAAAAUUAAGGAACGGUUACGGAAAAUUGAGUACUUCACUUUCACUUUGCCAUAGUAUAACUAUGGUCUUACGUAUGAUCACUUAUCACUUGUCCUUGAUAAGAUAAGUGUAGCUAGGCUACCACUUAUCACUUUGUCACUUGAUCAGAUAAGUGUAGCUAAAGCUACCACUUAUCACUUUAUCACCACUUAUCACUUGUUCCUGAUCAGAUAAGUGUAGCUAAAACUACCACUUAUCACUUUGUCACCACUUAUCACUUGUUCCUGAUCAGAUAAGUGUAGCUAAAGCUACCACUUAUCACUUUGUCACUUGAUCAGAUAAGUGUAGCUAAGCUAUCACUUAUCACUUUGUCACUUGAUCAGAAGUACUCUAAUCCGGUGUUCCGCUCAAUUUGAUCAUUUAUUCAGUUUUCACAUUUUUAUUUUAUUCUCAUUUCAUCAAUAAAUAUAUAUAUUUCAUCAUACAUUAUAUAAUUCAUGAAAUUAACAUUUAAUCAUUAAAUUUCAGCCAUAUGAACUUACCUGGGUCGAUUUAUUGAAUUUGUAAAAGUUCAGGGACUAAUCAGCUACUUUUUCUUUUCCUCGACUUGUUUCGGGUUCUCAAUAUGAUUCAAAUAUAUGAAAAACCAGCUUGGAUGGACUCUUCAAUGGCGUUUUUUGCUGAGAAAUAUGAUGAAUUGCCUAGAAACUCUUUUAGUUAAGAUUUUUAUUUGUUAACUUUUACAAAAUUUCCAAUUUUGCCCUUAUUACAUCACUUUUUCAGAUUUUUCUUCUCUUAUGCCGUCUCAACUAUUCCAUAUUAGCAUAUUUAUGCCUUAAGUCCCUCCUUAUUUGCCACUUAAGCUGUUUAAUCACUUUUAACAAAUUUUACAUUAUUUUCAGUUUAGUCCUUUUUAAUUAAUUAACCACCCAAACGUUAGAAUUUUCUAACGAAACUUUAAUAUCAAUUCAAUGGCACUCUAUAAAUGUUUCUAAAAAUAUUUAUGGCUUGAUUGAUGAGUUUGAGGUUUCGAUACCUCAUUUUUUAUUCUAAUUAUUUUAAUAUUUAUUCUUAGUACACUAUUCACUAUUUCAAAAAUUUUCCUAACUUCGCAUUUAACUUAUACUCACUAAAUUAAUAAUAUUUUCUACUCAUUUGUCAGAUUUAGUGAUCUAGAAUUACCAUUCCGACACCACUGAAAAUUCAGGCCAUUACAUUAUGUUUAUUGACUCAUUUUUUCUGUUGACUGAAUUUCAGGUAACUCAUCGACUUAGGCGGGUCGGCAUGGCGAGAGCUCGGUCAUCCUUAUUUAGUAAUUUUCUGUUUAAAUUAAACUUAUGCUAUAGUUGUUUUAUCUUGAAUUACAGAUUUCAAAUUUAUAUUUCUACACUAGUUCAACUAUUUAAACAUUUUCUGACAAUUAAACUUUAAUUAGUUAAAAGUGAGAAUUUCUUAAAUGAUUUGUUGUAGCUUUCCAAGCUUGGUCCUAACAUCUAGGUCGGGUUUGGGGUGUUACAACCCAAAACCCCCAAACUUUCCCCUCAAAACUUUUACUCCCCCACCCUUUCUCUUUCUCGCUCACCCUCCCAAACCCUUCUACUUUUCCCCCAAAACUUUUACUUCCCACUUUUACCCCCAAAUCAAAAAUCAAAAUCCUCCCAAAAAAAUCCUUAAACCUAAAUAGUAAUAAUUUUAUUUAUGGCUACUAUUUAUAUUAUAAAUUAAAUUUCACAUUUUCUAUUAUUUAUAUUAUUAAAUUGUUUAAUCAUUUUGAAUCUUUAUCAAUUUCUGUUAAAACUGUAUCAUUGAUGAUGUCAUACAUUAUUUGUGUUAAAAAUUUCUAUUGGUAUCAAUUUCACAUUUUAUCUUUAAAAUAAAUUUUAUUAAAAAAAUUACUUUUUUACAUUUAAUAUAUUUUUUAAUUUCAAAAUAUAUGGUGACAAGAAUUAGAAGAUAAUUGAAGCAACUAAGCAAGUAAAAAAGCUAACAUGUAUAUAAAAGAUUAAAUAAAUUAUGAAGGGAUGAAAGUUAAUAACACAUUUGAUUACGGUGGACAAAUUUGAUAAUGAUGGGUGACAGUGGCUACAAGGAUCCAAAGUAAUUUUUUCAAUUAACUGGAAACAAAUAUAUUCGAUUCGAUUCGAUAAAAUUUGAAAUCAUUUUAGGAUGAUAAAAUAAGACUCGUCAACUCGAUUAACUCGAAGUUUUUUCAUUUGAUUCGAUUAGACGCUCACCCCUACAAAGUAUGACCGAUUGGUCUGAUUCUGAAAAAAAUUGGUUUUGAUCAAUGAAAGAACUUUUACGAUGGCGACAGGUCUAACAAACAGGUGAUAUUUUGAAAAGAAAAUUAAUCUCCAUAGUCUCAACCUUAGGAGGGUGAAUUUUGAGCAUUGCAUUUGUUGUCAUUGUUAGACAUUAUAAAGGAAGAAAAAAGAAAGAAAAAAGUUAAAAUGAGGGAAAUUAUUGAAAAAAAGAGAGAAGAGAAUAAUUAAUUUUUUUAAAAUUUUACAUGUCAAUCUAUUAUUGAUUAGAUUUUUUUAAUGAGUGUAACAUUUUGGUGUUAAAUGGAUAAUAAAAAAAUAUUUUAAGUAUCAUUUAUGAUAAAAAAUAUUUAGGUAUCAAUUUGAAAAAAAUAUGUAGCUUAGAUACUAAUUGAUGGGUUAAUUUUUUUAGCUUAAUAAUUUGAUUAAACCGAAAUACCAACUGAAAAAAAGUUUACUCGCCGCUUAUGAAAAAAAAUAAGUAUGAAUUUGUAAGUUAAAUCUCCCUAAAAGAAAAAAUAUAUCACAUUCAAUACGGGGUGAAUGAAGCAAUGAAUGCAAUGGGGUAUUACAACCAGCCACAUGUCAUUCAAUUCAUGUUAUAUCUACCUUGUUGGCCCCACAGGCGGUCUUUUCCAUUAUUUUCGAAGUGAACGACAUGAGUCGGACCUAUAUCGGCCCCAACAAACAACCUCAACCACUUGUUUUGUUAGGUUGUUGACUAAUUUGAAUAUGUCGGCUCAAAGCUUUUUGAAAAUUAAAUUAUUUUUUAUAUUAAUAUCAUAUAGGUAUAAAAAUUUAACGUUUUGUAAAAAAAAUAAAUUUAGUGUUAAAUUUAAAUAAUUAUAAAAAAUUAUACAAAAUACAAAGACAACUUAGAGUCAAUAAAAAAAAUAUGGAAAAUCAAUUCAUACAUUAAAUGGCAUAAAAAUAUUAUGAACACUAUACAAAUAUAUGAAUGUUUUUAUAUCUAUUUAAAAUAAGUUAUUAACGCUUAAACUUCAACCAAUUAAAUAUUAAUUUAACUAUAAACUAUAAAAAAUUAAAAUUUCAUUUGCCCUAAACAAUUAUUCUAAUUUCGCCCCUGUAUAAAAUAGUUCUAAUAUUAAAAAAAAAGUUAUACGAAUAUGGAGUGUUAAAAAAAAAGGCUUUCAACUUUUAAUAUUCCAAACAAAUAAAAGAAAUAAUAAUAACAGUUUACAAGUGCAAUAAAAGUAAUACAUAUUUGAUGAAUUAAAAAUAGAAUAAAUAUAACUAACUAUAACAGAAAUAUAUUUAGAUUUAAACCAAAUUUUUUUGAAGAUGAAAUUUGAACUCACAAAUAAUAUUUAUAAAUGAUGAGCCUAAUGAUGAUAUGUUUUAGAACAUGUAUAUUUUAAUUUCAUUUGAUAUUUAAAUUAAUGAAUGAAAUGAGUAUAUUAGCAUAAAUAUAUUGAAUUUCUAGAUUUAUUAAAAAUCCAACUAAAUAGAGUAGAUCCAUAAAUUUAAAAAAUGAUUAUGGAUUUUGAAAUAUAAAUCUAAAAUUUAAAAUCUGAAACCCUCCUAAAUGUUUUCCAAAGUAAGGCGGGGAUAAAUGGUAUAGGGAAGACGGUGGGUAGAUAGAUGUACGGUUUAUUUAUAACUUCGUUUUUAUUAGUCGGCUUACAGUUUCAUAAAAAGCAUCCGUGCAAGGCAUGUUCAAAUGCUGCACUAGCAUACCACUACUAUAAAAAAAACACAUACAAGAGCACCACAAAUUUAUCCCAAAAUACAUUAAAUAAAUGACUCCUAAGGGUGCCAGAUUUAACUAGUGUGUCUGGGAUUGUAUUAGCCUCUCUGAGGCCAUGUGAAAAAAUUUAAUGUUAUUGUUAUAUUUCCAUCUCGAUACGUUGCAAGACAUGAAGCAAUCUGUAAACAACUCUCUUUUGGAAGCAGUUUGCAUACGACUCUUCGCUAAGAACCAUUUGUUGUGAUCUUUCGCUUAGGAUUGCUCACAAAUGACCCCCAUGCACCCUAUCUCUCUCCCUCCUUAACUCAUCAUCUUGAACUCUCAUCCUAUCAUAGGUGAAUCGAGACUCUUCUCCUCCACCCUUUCCUCGUUGGUUACUUGUAGCAAAAAAAAUUAAUUUCACCGAAAAUGUUGGAGAGAUCCCAUGGUCUAAGUGUGUUGUUAGAGCAAAGCUCGAUGGCAAAUUUGGAGUCAAAUUUUAGAAUAAACCCUUUAAAAUCCAUUACACCGUAAAGGAAAAUUUUUACAAUUACAUUAACAAUAAAUAUUCAAAAUUUACUCAUCUAUCUAUACUUAUAUUAAGCCUUAUUUGAGUUGGAGUCAAGAGUCAACUAGGUACUAACUCAGUUGAGAAUUUACUAAAUAAUUUUAAUAUAAAGUAAAAAAAAUAUUAAUACGAGGGUGUUUUUAUCUUUUCAUAUUUUUAAAUAAAAAAAUACUAUAAUAAGAUUUAAACUUAAGUUUAAAAUUUCAAUCAAAACAUCACUUAAAUUUAAAAUAACAUUUUUAUAUAAAAUGUGUUUAGAUUCUAAGAUAAUGAAAUUUAUGAUGAGGUAUUCAAAAUGUGUUUGAAUAUGCUAAUGAGAUAUUCAAAUUGGUAUGCACAUUCCUAAUCAGGGAGCAUUAAUGAUAAUUUAGUAAAAUAAAUUAUCUCAUUAGCAUAUAGUUUAUUAUAAAAUUAUUGUGUAAAAUAAACAAUUCACAAACUUAAGAAUUUAUAACACAAAAAUUAUACAUCAAUGUUGUUAGAAUUGUAUUAUAUCCAUCGGUUGAAUUUAAAUUUAAAAAUUUAAUCAGCGAUAAUAAUUAAAAUCGUUUCAAACUAGUAAAAUAUUGAAAAUUAAGAACUAAUAAAAUAGAUUCUAAUUAUUUUUAUUUAAAAAAUGUUACCUUCUUAUUCAGGUUACAUUAAGACAAACCCAUCUUAAUUGUAAGUAUCAUAUUGUGAAUGGUAAACUUCUUACACAACAUCCACCAUUUGUCCAAAUAUGUUAAAUUAGGUGCAACAUAGAAAUUUUAUUGUAAGGAGUGAAUCUCAUUGUUUUUAUUUUCAUCAAACAUACGUCUAACUUUAUUAUUACGGGAUUAGAACUUAAAUUUGAUAAAUUGUGGUGAUUUCUUUUCGUUAAAUUUACCUAAAUCAACCUAACACUCGAAAAGUGAGAAUUCUCCUAAAAAUUCUUUAUGUUAGCAAAAAAUAUAGUGGAAGUAACUUGAAACGAAAGAGCAAUGAGAGAAUUGAAAAGACACAAGAAAAUAAUGCAUACAAGGUGUUUGAGUAAAUGCUCUCAAUAAAUUCUUUAACUCAAGAAGGAAUGAAGUACAACCAGUAUCUAGCCCCCCUAAAAUAGAAAAUUUUCCAUUUAUAUACCUUUAUAAUUUAUAAAAUUUAAAAUUUUACUUUCCCAUAAAAUGAUAAAAAAUUGAUUUAUUUCUUUAAAAAUUAUAAAGAUGACUAUUAAAAUAGUAAAAUUGUAUUUUUAUUAUUGUAAAAAUAUACAAUUUAAUUCUGUCUCCCAAAUUUUUUUUUUGGUUUCAUCCCUAAGUACAAUGAUCAUUGUAGCAGGAUACACAGGCAUUGUAGCAGGAUACAUAGGCAUUCUAGCACAGAAUGCAAAUAUGUUGCAAAUUAACUUCGAGUCAUGGCAUAAAGUGCCCGAGAGUAACAAGAACCAAGCUCUCGAUAACAUUAAGGUAACAAAAUGUGUAUAUCAUUUAUAAUACUUGAGUUUAAGUUUCGUUUACAUUUACUUUCUGAAGUUGUGUUUUUUGUAGGGGAGAUUUGCUCUAGAGGUCUCCGAUGCUUAUGUAAAGAAGGCAUUGGGAAAAAGAUGGAGAGACCAUAAGAGCACUUUAAAGAAAGACUAUUUUAAGACAAAAACAACACUCGACGAGAGAUUACAAAAUGUCACGCCGGGAAUGCUGAGGUACCAGUGGGAAGAAGUCGUUAGAUUUUGGACUUCGAAGAAAGGAGAGGUAUGUGUUACUACAAAAAUCUUGUAAUUAUUUUGGUUUAUAGUAUUUACUAAUUAACGUACUAAUAAUUUCAUAACGUAGGAUCGUGAACGAGUUGGAACAAGUAGUAGGCAGAAACAAAAAUUCACGCACACAGCUGGGUCGAGAAGUUUUGCGUGUGUAGCUCAGGCCGAGGUAUUUUGAAUUUUUUAAUACUGGCAGAUAUUUAUUACUUUCUAUCAAAUAAUAUUUUUACUAUUGUAUUGUAGGAAGUGUUGUCGGGUCAAAAAGUUGGACGCCUUCAACUUUUUGACAUUACACAUAGGAAGAAAGAUGGAAACCCUAUGACUCCUGAAGCUGCAGAAAUUAUGGUACGUUUGCUUAAUACAAUUUGACUUGUUUUAAUUAUUUAUACUGUUUAUUUUCUAAUGGUUUUUAUUACAUUUCUUAUAAUGCAAAUAUUGUUAAGUUAUGUUGCAUUUGUUUUGUUAAUAUAUGUUGCGUUCUUAACUAUGUGAUUUAUUUUUUAGGAAAAACUGAAGGAUAAAAAGGCGAAGUACGAAGCGAUUGCUUCCAGUGAUAGUUCUGUUCAUAUUUACGACAUUGAUAAUCGGAUUAUCAUUGAAGUUUUGGGUCCUGAAAGGUAUGAUCGGGUUCGAUUUCAAGGAUCUUUUGUUAACCCAUCCCAAUAUUUUGGAUCCAGCUCGCAACAAUACAUGCAUUCGGGGAGUCAGGCUCAAGCUGAAGUUAGAGGUUAAGAGACCAGAUAGCUUAGAUGCAAGCGGCAACGAGUGAGCAAAUUACACAACUUAAAGCGGAGGCAACAUCGAGAGAAGCCAAGGUUCAAAAAAGAUAUGAAGAACUCCAGCUACAACUUAAAGCAGAUGCGGCAGCGAGAGAAGCAGAGGCAGCAGCGAGAGAAGCUGAGGUUCAACGAAAGUAUGAGCAACUGCAGUAGCAGCUUAAAGAAGAUGCGGCAACGAGAGAAGCAGCGGCUGCAGCGAGGGAAGUAGAGGCUGCAGCGAGGGAAUCAGAACAGCAUAAAAAGUUCGAUGAACUCCAGCAGCAGCUUCAGAAUAUGAUGAAGAUGUUUCAGCAGUCGCAACCGCCGUCAUCUUAGACUAUCGUUUAAAUAUACUUCAAUUUUGACUUUGGUAUUAUUAUUUUAACUUUUACAAUUUCUGUCAGAAUAAUACGAAUUUUAUUUUAUUUAUUGACAUUUAUUUUAAAUAUUAUAUAGAUUUGGUUAGAUUUGGUUGGUUGGAUUUGGUUUCUUCUGAUUUGUUUUUAUAGGAGGGGGGCUGAAAAUUUUUUUUUCAAAUCUGCCAAAAUUAGCGGCGUUUUUUUGGAUAAGCGCCGCUAAAGACCAUCGUCUAUAGUGGCGUUUUUUGGCUAAGCGCCGCUAAAGACCAUGGUCUAUAGUGGCGUUUUUCGGCUAAGCACCGCUAAAGACCAUGGUCUAUAGUGGCGUUUUUUGUCUAAGCGCCGCUAAAGACCAUGGUGUAUAGUGGCAUUUUAUGGCUAAGCGCCGCUAAAGACCAUGGUGUAUAGUGGCGUUUUUUGGCUAAGCGCCGCUAAAGACCAUGGUCUAUAGUGGCGUUUUUUGUCUAAGCCCCGCUGAAAACCAUGGUCUAUAGUGGCGUUUUUUGGCUAAGCGUCGCUAAAGACCAUGGUCUAUAGUGGCGUUUUGUGGCUAAGCGCCGCUAAAGACCAUGAUCUAUAGUGGCAUUUUUCGGCUAAGCGCCGCUAAAGACCAUGGUCUAUAGUGGCGUUUUUUAGGCUAAGCGCUGCUAAAGACCAUGGUCUAUAGCGGCGUUGCAAAGAAAACGCCGCGAAAGGUCUUGAUCUUUAGCGGCGUUUAUUAUAAAAAGCGCCGCUAAAGUUACCGACACUGUCAUUAGCGGCGAUCUUUGCGGCGCUUCGUAAAGCGCCGCUAAAAGUAUUUGCGGCGCUAAAAAACGCCGCUAUAGACCUAAAAAAGCGCCGCUAAAACCCUGUUUUGGUGUAGUGUGAGAUGAUUACAAAUGAAGGGGGAGAUCUCUAUUUAUAGUUGAGCUCCCCUAGAUCCAAUAGUAUAGAUUGAAUUACAUCAACGAUUGAGAUUAGUACUUAUCUACAAGAUGAGUCUUAAGGGUUUUAAACUCUAUACAUCUUUAUCCCUUAGGAUUUACAUUAAUUACUCUGGUAACUCUAGUUUUACUGGAGAGUUUCACUGAACCACCAAAGGUUUAAGUAGAUGAGCUUCUCCAUAUGUUCCACGAGUUGGACAAGUUCAAGCGGAUCAAAUGAGCCCAAUUUAAUUAGUUAAUCUCAAUAAAACGUUCUAUGCGCAAUGAUCAUGAACUUUGAUCUACAUCUCAAAAUGAUCAGAUGAAUAAUCUCUCUUAAUUAUAUUUUUAUAAAACUUGAUAUUUUCAUUUAAAAAGAAACACAAUCACAUAUAAUAAUGUCUCCAAAAGAGUCGUCCACUUCAAAGAUUUAAAGUAAUGUAAGAAUGAACCCAACAUUUUUCAAUUAAAAAUAUGUCGAUAGAUAUAGCAAGUUGUAUAACCUUUCAAUUACAAAACAGAUUUCAAUGGGGAUUGCAUCCGGUACAUGCAACUAAAGAACAGAACCGGUGCAUAAAUUGAUUUAAUUAAACUUUGGGUUGAGUAAUCAUGAUUUUCAUUAUUAUUAGACUACGUGAAUGUUGAUAUAAAAUGCUUGAGAGAAGGGUAUAGAAGAAACACAAAAUAAUGAGUGAUAUUAAUUUGUAGAUAAAGAUAAUAUUACAUAGUCGCAAAAAGCGACCUAGUACACAACGCACAACUCUAAAUUAGGAUAACUCCUCUGCUAUCCCUAUGGAUGGAUUUUAACAUCCAUAUUUAUUCUGUAGCUAUCGUUAUUUUGGCUUCCACUAGCUGGUGAACUUUCCAUGCCAAAACUUCACUUAACCCUGCAAAUGAAACAACAAAAAACACAACAUUAAAUGUUGAGCAAUUAAUAAGCAUAAGCAAUGAAACAACUCAUACGAACCUGCUGCAGUCAGUGCUAGGGCUGAUCUUGUAAGGGAUGUUGACACCGCACUUGCCUGGGAGUCCGCUUGCAAUACCAUAGUUGAUGCCAGGAAUGCCGGCGGCCGCACUUUUGAUGCAUUUGCAAGCUGCUUGCCGGUCUGGUGUUGUUUGGGCGGCGGAGUUGAGAGAUUUGAUGCCGCUGCAGCAACCUUGGGGAACGGCACCAGCACCAUUCCCUCUCAAGUAAUUAAUGCAGGGUGCGAGGGAGCCUGUGACUUGACCACAGGUUACGGUCCCUUGAGCCAGGGGUGCACCCACCACCAUGCACAACACCACCACACAUGCAAGCUUAAGGGACAUUGAGCUAGCCAUAUCGAUUAAUUACAAGAAAAACAAACUUGUAAGGAAAAUGCUUGCUUGGAGUAGUAGUAGUAUUGCUGAUUGUUGCGUGGUUAGGGCCCGAGGGUAGGAGGGUUUUUAUAGCCAAAAGUUUUGUGAAGGGAUAUGGAACGAACUGAGAAACACGUACGAAUAGAAUAUGGUUAGGCGUUGGUAGUUGUCCCAAUUCAAUGCCAAGGUUUCUUUUUUUCUUUUUCAUGUUUCAGCUUAUGGUUGAGUGUGUUUAAUGCUUUGAAAAAGGUUUGUAUCUACCACUUUCAUCUUCAUCACUAAUGCUGAAUUACUCCGUUGAUUAAUGCAUCAUAUUAGCCUUGUCCUAGUGUUACCGGUUUUCUGAUAUUAGUAGCUUUACCAAUAAAAGAUGCUAUCAAAUAUAGUUUUCAGGAUGAUAUUAAAAAUUAAGGUUUUUUAGUUACAAAUAAAAUUGUCACAUUAUCAAAUUUUAAAGAUAUGAAAUUAUUAUUAUAAACUCAUCUAUAGAGAAAUUAUUUUAUGAGCCCUUUCCACCACAUUAUUCACAGUCCAUUUUCAAUUAUUUAAUAAUAUUUCAACAAUAUUUUCCAUGUCAUUGACACAUAAUUUUAAUAAUUUUUUUACCCUGAACCUUGAGUCUAGAAUCCCAAACCCUAAAUAAAAAACUUAAAACCCCAAACUAUAACCCCAAACACUUGCAUCAUAAACUCGAACCGCGAACCUCAAACUCAUAAUCUGUAACCUUGAACCCAAACUUGUAAUCUCGAACCCUUGAACCCUGAACCUAAACCUUGAACCCUGAACUCAAAGCCCAAAACCAAAACUGAACCCUGAACCUUAAAUCUCAAACCCAAACCUUAAACCUCGAGGUUUGGGUUCAAGGUUCAAGGUUCAGGGUUUGAGUUCAAGGUUCGAGGUUUAGGAUAAAAUAAUUACCAAAAUUUGUAACAGAAUAAAAGAGUUCGUUUAUAAUUUAAAAAGCAAUUAUUUUAAGUAAUUUAAUUAAAGUGAAAUUAAGUUGGAGAAAAUAUUAGAUAUAGAUGAGUGUAUAAUAAUACUUUAUUGUCUUUAAAAUUUAAUGACGUGGUACUAUUUUAUUGGUGCCUCAAACUAUACUUUUUAGAAUAAUCCUAAUACAAUUUAUUCCCAUAUUAAAUACGUAUGCUUUCUAUAUUUUUUCGAAAAAAUAAAUUUUAUUCAUAAACUUUCUAUAUAUAAAUAUAUGUUUUAUUUAAAAUUUAUAAAUACAGAAAAAUUAAAAUAUAAAUAUAUGUCAAAGUAGCUAUUAAGUGUAGAAUUAAACAAUUAUAACAUAUAAAUAGAUUAAAAAUUAGGACAAAAAAUCAAUCUAUUACAUAAAAUAUAAAUUAUGAAUGAAAACAAUCUAAAUUAUAGUCUGGCUAAUCAAACUAAAACUUACAUAUAACCAUAUGACUUUAAGGGUCUUGAAUAUGGUUACUUAAAAGCUUAUAGUUCAGCUUUUACCCACUACGUCAAGGCUUCAUUUACGUUUUUUUUAACCAUAUAUUUUUCAUAUAAUUAUAUAUAUAUAUUUUGCAUAAAAAAUCCCCAAGACGUUAAUUACUUCUAUAUAAUGUAGCGAUUAAGUCCUCAAACAAAAAUUGCUCAACAUCAAUGCAUGUAUAGAUCAAUUUUAUAUAUCAAAGACCAAUACUAUCUUUUUCUUAAAAAAAAAAAAAACCAAUAUGUUGUGAUUGCUUAGCUAUUGUUCCUAAGUCUUCCUGAAAAAGGUUUCACAGUCUUCCUGAAAAAGGUUUCACAGCGAGAGGAGAAAAAAAAAAGUUGAACUUGUCUUGGUUUGCCCCAUAAUGAUUGAAGCAUAGACAAGAUUAUAAAUGUUAAUUUAGUAUACGACAUAAUAAUAUAAUAUAAUAUAUUUAAAUGUAUAUCUCCUCACCUCCUAGACGCUGUCAGUUAUUUUAUUUUUUGGGAUUUUUUUAACAAAAGGUUGAGCUUUUUAUUAGGUUUUAUUUGAUUUUUCAUUUAUUAAAUAUAAUUUUUUUAUUUUUAUAUUUUUUAGUUAUUAUUAAUUUUUGUUGAAAAUUUGUACGGUCUUGUUCUAACAACAAUUAGAACAAGCUUUUUGGAACAAUCAAAAGUUUUGGGUGUAGGCAUGUUUGACUUUUAAUGGCUUAUGUUUUAAUAUUAGUUAACAAAAAGUGAUAAGAGAAUUUCAUGAUAAAUUAGAAUAUGGUUAUCAUCCAUUUGAUUAGUCUUGAUGAGGAAGGAGAGGAGUUUGAACUUUGGUGGACACCCAUCCUUAUCCUUGUCUUUUAGAGUGUUUGAAGCUAUUGGAGAACUUGGUUUUAAAGAUUUUAUUUGAUAAAUAUUCAAAAUAAUUAAUUUGAUAAUUUCAACUUUUAAAGGAGAGUUUAAAACUUAUCAAAACAUUAUUUGAUAAACACUUGUAGAGGCGUAUAAAUAGGCAACAGUGUGGUGUAACUUUGUUUGUUGUUUUGGAGUGUCUUAAACUUUUAUUUUUUUGCUAUUCCAUUGGGUAACUUUAUGACACUCUCUUUUUAGGUAUUAUUUGGAGAUGUUUAGUAAUUGUAUUGUGAGGAAUUUGAGUGAGUGAUUGCAUUGAAGAAAUGCGACCUAAAUGUAUAUGUUAAACUCUUAUCUAGGACAUAAAUUCCAUGAACAAGGUACCCAUGUUAAUAACAUGUCACCACUUCGCAUCUUUAUGGUAUUGACCCUAUGUAGUUAGACCCUAUAUGACGUAAACAACACUUAUAGUGUGCACGAUAUCGUAGGCUUGAACGUUGAUUGAAUGCAACCUAUAUUUUGGUGCCUUUGUCGGAAAUGAUGUAUGCAUCGGGUUGCGGUACAAAUGCCUUCUCAGGUUAGUUAAGAAGAAAUCCCAUUCAUCAUUGGAUUCUUCAGGAGUUAUUACAAAAGCUAUUGGCAGGAUUUUUAGGUUACCAUCUUAUGCAACAACUACUAACAACCGAUGGUCGCAUAUUCUAUACAGGAAUGUGCCGUUAAUUUGGAAAAGUGGCUUACAGUACCAAAAUGUAGUUCUGCAUUGCUUAAAAGUCCAAAAGCAACGGUGGAAAACUCCUUUUCCAGGGACCAAGCAAUCGUCAUAAUACGCAGGCUCCAUUUUUAACUUGGUUACAGAACCUAGUAUGUACCACUCUAGUAUCUAACACCAUUGCCACAAUUUAUAGUAGGAUUUCUCCCACCCUCUAUUCAUUUUCUCCAAUGCCUUCUAUUUUUGCAACUAUGUCUUGUGCUAGGACAUGGUGUAAUCGGAUUCUCUACAGAUGUGUGCGAUCAAAAUUGGGACCAGAAUCCUAGGACUUGCUUUUGCCAUGGGUAAUAGAAUUUUAGAUAUCAUGUCUAAAUCUAAUUUUGGAUGAUCAUUCGAUAUGCUUGAAAAACAAGAAAUCGAGUCACUAUGUGUAAUAGAAUGUAAAAAAAGGCUAGGAUUCGAGUCGAUGUUGUUAGCCAUAUUACAUACCAGCUACAACACAUGUAUGUGGCACGAUAAAUUUCCUACGUUUAAAAUGCCAACUUCUUCGUCAUAAAUGCCAUGAUUUUCCAUAGACAUCUUGUUGCACGCAUUGUGCGCAUCGCCUUAUAUUUCUCGGAUUGAGAGCAUGUAAUAGUGAAGUUGACACCAAAUUGUAUGCUAUACUACUUGAUUGUAGCUACAAAAGCAUAUUUGGAGUCAAACUCCAUCCCAACCUCUAAGUGGUCGAAAUUUGUUGAUGAAGUCGCAUACCUUAGUCUUCUACGGGGGAGGUCUGGGAAUUCUAAAACCACUUUCACUAGUAAGACUGAGAGUACGCAUAUGGGGUGGGGGUUUGUAUUUCGUGAAACUUAGGUCAUCCCCUCGAGCGAUGUCUAAAGCUUGACCAUUAGAUCCAUCGUCUUCUAGUUCAGUAGGAAUGGGAUCUAGUUCUAAAAUUACUACAAUUUCGCACCAUCCAGUCCAACCACCUCUCCUGGGUCAUUAUCUGAUUUAGACCCCUCUUUGACCACUUUGUUCUCUUGUCCCUCUUUGUUAUCAACCCUGGUUGUAAGUCCAGGGUUGGAUGUACCCUCUCCGGUCGAAGUUGUCAAGAGUAGAUCAUUCAUUCUUGUAAAUCCGAUGUCAAUCCCAAAACCAAUUCUGUUUGGCCUACCCAGUAACUUGAUGGUGUACCAUAUGAGUGUUAUCGAGGUUGAACAUAGGUGUGUCAAAGUUGAAACCAAAGGCACUGAUAGAAUGUUGUGCGGCUGUGUUGUAGGCCUGGUGACCGAAUACGUCUAACUAUCCCCCGAAGUUGAAAUCGAGGGAUGAAAUCGAUGAAUGCCUCACCAUUGAUGAUGUUAAUAAUGUGUCUUUGUAUAAGCUUUGUAGCAAUGAUCUGAAUCCACAACAAAACCGUGUGGCCAGACUUUUUGCUUCUUGAUUUGGCUAGAAAUUUGGCGGACACGGUAUAAUCGAGCUUGGGCCACCUUUUUCCUCUUCAGCAAAGACUGUAUAUUCUCACAAGAGUAAUGAGUUUCGAUCACUGUCUUCAAACCGUUGUCCCCUGUGAUCUGAAAAAUGGAAUAUCUAACGGGGUUAAAUGAUGUUAGAUAUCUACAUUUCAGGCUCAAAAUUCUUCUUCAGAUCCCUACUUUAUGCCUAAACCUUGUUCAAAGCUCUUUUAACGUUAUGCUCUAGUUGAAUGUCAGAUCUUUAGAUUGGGUUGAUACAAAAAUGGGCUCAAUUUCAGCCUCACAAUUUUGACCGUUGUAAUGGACAAUAGCUCUGGCUCGUCUCCUCAUCUUGAACCAAAUAUUCUAUUCCACAUGUUUAAAAUCGAGAAAAUUGUAAAAAUAUAGUUCUCAUCACCCAAAUCCCUAAAUUUACACUUACUUUAAUGAAAUACCUUUGCUUCGACAAUAUUGUCAGUAUAAAAUUUUUGUUUUUUACUACAACAUCGAUAACUCCUAAUGCCAACAAUCUGCUUCAAACAUCUGUAUGGAAAAUCCAAGAAUUAUAUUGAGUUUUUUUUAUAGAGCCUUUUCCUCGACGCACAUGAAACGAUUCUAGCAACAACACAUGUCAAGGCAUUAGUUGUUUUUGAGGUAUACACUAAAAAUUAAAAUUUGUGGGGGAGAAAACGUUCCCCGCAACGAUGUUUUUCAGCACCUAGACAUAGCAUUGAAAUUUAUCCUAGGAAUCCCGGGUUGUAGGGGCUUAGAGGUAGAAGCAAUCAAGUUGGCUUGGGUAUUGAAAGACCAUAAAGAAAAUGCCUCUUGCAGGAAGCAUUUCCACCUGACUUGGCAAUCAAAAUGCCUCCUGCAGGACGCGUUUUCCAGCCACAUCUCUGACAUGUUAGUUGAAAACGCAUCUUGCAAGAGGCGUUUGUACUGCCAUGUUAGGUAAAAACACUUCCUGCAGGGAACAUUUUCUUUAUGGCCAUUUCAACACCCAGGCCAACUUAAUUGCUUCUGCCUCUGAGCCCUUACAACACGGGAUUCUCGGGAUAAAAAAAUUUCCCUUUUUACCCCACCCCAUCCCUUAUAUAAAUGUAUGUUCUCAUCCCCUACUCACCCAUAUCUCAGUCUCCUUUAAAUUAUUUUUUUCUUUUUCUUCCGUGUUGAAAUUUUCAAGUUUAAAGAUUUAUUUCUCUCACACUUUGAGGGGGAUGUAAUCAUAGUUUUAAGUUGUGUUUGAGUUCACAAUAAUGUCGUGGCGCUUGAUAACUUACAAAUUUCACUUGUCGUGUGAGUAUGGAGCCAUCACUUGAGAAAUCGAGAUCGCUUUGCAACUCGAGGUCCAAGUUGACGGUGUAAAUAAGGCUUCAAGUUUACAAAGGUUAUGCUAUUAAAGGAUGGAGCAAAACCGGGACUGUAGUUGACGAUGGUGAUGCAAGCACAAGAACUAGUUUUUCCUCAUUGGAAGAGCAUACUUUAUAAAAUCCAUAUACAAGUACGAGGGAGAAAAUCACAGGGGUCUUCCAGUAUAAUCAAGUAAUUCAUUUUAUCCUUUUCCAGCAAAGGCAAUGACCCUGUUACUAAAACCUAUUACAUCCCCUUUCUAUCAUAGGUAAUAGUAACGGUGUCACCGUCUUUGGUGGAGAUGGAUAAAAAAAUUUACUUAAUUAUACUGAGAUACCAUUGCAUUUUUCUUCCUCGUACUUGUGUAUGAGUUUUAUAAAGCAUCAUUUUCUAAUGAAAAAAGUUUUUUGUCGUGCCCGCAUAACCAUUGUAAAUUACAGCUCCAAUCAUACUCCGUCCUUUGAUAGCGUAACAUUUUGUAAACUUGAAGCUCUAGUUACACUUCAAUUUCAGACCGUAUAAUCACCCUUAAUUGGGACCAUGAGUUGCAAUGCGAUCUGGCUUCUCGGGUGAUGGCUCCAUACUCACAUGACAAAUGAAAUUUGUAGGUCACCUAACUCCACGACACCACCAUAAAUUCAAACAUUCCUUAAAACUAUAACAGUGUCUAUCUCAAACAAGAAUGAAAAUAAAUGUUCAAACUUCUAAUUUCAAAUUGCAAGAAAAAAAAGAAAAAAAUAAAUUUUAGCAAAGUAAAAAUGGGUCCUACCGGCGCAUUUUCAUUGCCACAUCAAUGAAAAUACACCUCGUACGACACGUUAUUCUUUCUUCGUAAACAAUGUAAAUCAAUAAAUUUAAAAAAAAAUUAUACAUUCUCAAAUAACUCUUUUUUUCAGCAUUUUUGUUAAAUUUAUCCCAUAAUACUGCUACUUCUUGUUUCCUGGGUUAUUUUUAUUACUGCUGGUUGUACCACCCUCCUACUGUGCGCCGGUUAUAGCAACUCACUCAAGAUUCUAAAUACUAAUAUAAACACCAUUUCUUUUAUUCUUAGUUUUUUUAGUGAUUAACGUGGUUUUAAUUAUCGUUAGAUCACGUGGGUGUUUAUAUGAAAUGCUUGAAAUCGUCACGCAGGACAAAAAAAAAAAAAAGAAAAAGAAAAGGAAAUGAAGAGUAUAUAUAUAGAGGAAACAACUAGUGAGAGUGAUAUUAAUAUUUAGAGUAGGUAAAGAUAGUAUUAUAUAGUCGCAUAUGCGACCUUGUACAUUACCACUAACUCUAAAACUAGGAUAACUCCAACAAUGAAUAGUACCGCUAUGGAUUUUUAACAUUCAUUUUUAUUCUGUCGACAUCACUAUUUCCCUUCCAUUAGCUGAUCCCAACUUCCAUGACCACACUUCACUUAAUGCUGCAAAUGCAACCACACCAAACAAAACAUUCAUAAAUUAAUAAAUCAAUUGCCAUAAGCGAUAAACUUUGGGUCAUUUUCUUUUUCCGUAAUUUCAAAGAAACCUAGUUUAAAUUAGAUACGAACCUUUUGCAGUCAGUGGAAGGGCUGAUCUUGUAAGGGAUGUUGAUACCGCACUUGCCUGGGAGUCCGGCUGCAGUGCUAUAGUUGAUGCCAGAAAUGCCGGUGGCCGCACUUUUGAUGCAGCUGCAAGCUGCUUGCCGGUCUGGUGUUGUUUUGGCGGCAGAGUUGAGAGAUCUGAUGCCGUUGCAGCAAGCUGGGGGAGCAGAACCAGCACCAUUCCCUUUCAAGUAAGCAAUGCAGGGUGCGAGGGCGCUUGUGAUUUGACCACAACUUAUGGCCCCUUGAGCCAGGGGUGCACCCACCACCAUGCAAAACACCACCACACAUGUAAGCUUAAGGGACAUUGAGCUAGCCAUAUCAAUUAGUCACAAGAAACAAACUUGUAAGGAAAAUGCUCGCUUGGAGUAGUAGUACUAUUGCUGAUUGUUGCGU